RNAcentral lists this long non-coding RNA (65141 nucleotides) under Coffea arabica (coffee). Its description in RNAcentral is "long non-coding RNA (CARA_LNC006960)". The record is from RNAcentral. Lineage: Eukaryota; Viridiplantae; Streptophyta; Magnoliopsida; Gentianales; Rubiaceae.
UUUUUUUUUUUUUUUUUUUCAGUUAGGGGUAUCCGGGCCUACACCCGACUAAUCCCCUAACCCUAGGAGAGCGGGCCCCACCGAUCCUCAGGAAGAUAUCCCAGGCUGAAUCGAAACCAAGACCGACGCCUUAACUAAGAACGCGAAACCCAGCCGAGCAACCCGUGGGGGGCUAUGCCCAUUCUUGUCUAAGCCAUCAAGAAAUUCUAUAGUUCUAUUUGAUUUCAUGAUUAAAAAGAAAAAGAGCACAAUAUCGUCUUAAAAAUUUGUCAAUACAAAUAGUAAAUACUUGUACUUCUUCUUGCAAAAAUGUACAUUCUUAAUAAAAUAUUCAUCAGAAGGUGUAGAGAAAAAUUCUGACCAGGAAGGGGAAAGUUUUUCCUAAUUGACAAUUAUAAUUCUAGAUGCAAAUUUGCCCAAGUUAGUUUAAGAGACCAUUUCUAUGGUUUAGUUGUAGCCAUCAUUCUUGAAAAAAAUGAAAACUCCAAGAAAUCAAAAGAAGGGACAAAAACACUUACCGGAUUCUUGACGACAAGGGUUAUUCAGUAAAUAAAAAUAAUAAACAUGUGAUUUCAAUUUUCAAUGCCACCAACUUAUACAUCUUUUUGCAGUUUUUAUUGAAAAGCAUGCCUUAUAUUUCUGGAGGGCACCUAGGAAUUGGACUUGGAGGUAUCAUUCUGCCUAACUUCUUGAUGGAUAGUUUUCAAGUAGGUAGCAUUGGAUGAUAGCAAUUAGGCUCCUAUAUCUGAAAAUUAACUUUGUGAUUAGCACAAAUGGAAAGCUUUCACAAGUUAAGAUGCCACUAUUAGCCAUUAAUGUUCCCCAAAUUUAUCAUUAUCUCUUUAUCUCCAUAUUGUUACUCCACCCCUAAAACCAUACGAGCAAUAAUUGAAGGAAUUUUAUAUAAAAAUUUCAAAUUCAUGAUGUCUUGUCACAUUACUAGUAUACAACUUCUAAUGCUUACUAAAGUAUCAUAUCAAAAUUAUUGAUCGAAAUAAUUGAGAAAAGAUGAUUCUCCACUCACCCAAGUCUUCUUUUGUUUUUUGUUCUUUAUUAUGUGAUUGAUUAGAUGAGCAACUGAUUAGCAAAAGCAAGACCAAACAGAUAAUUACCUACUAAUCUUACAAUGAAUCUAAAAAAGCUUACUCAAAAAAAGGUUUAGGGAAAAACAAAAGGCAUUAUAUAUCCCUCCUCCUCGUACAAGAUCAAUAAUGUCUGAUAGUUGGCGCUCAAAAAGACUUGGUACAAUGACUCUCGUUACUCUACAGUCCUAUACCAGUGGCUCUGUAAAAAUUGUCCAAUUUCCCUGAAGACGUUAAUACACUCUGUAUCAGGAACUGGGUAAAAACAAAAGGAUCCCUCAUUAGUUACUGCAAAAUUCGGCCGUUAGCAUGUAGUGGAAGCAAUGUUCAGCUGCCAUUCGAUUCUUCGGGAAGUUCCUGCAUGACACAAAUCUCAAUCCUUACAUGUCAAUGUUAAAACUUAUCAAAAAGAAGCAGCAGAUUGACCACCAACAUUUACCUGAACUUCCUGUUGAAGAAGUUCUUCGAGUUGUACCCUUAUAUUGGAGAAGGAAGGUCUGUUCUCGGGUAUCGCUUCCCAACAUCUUUGCAUCAUAUUUAAGAGCUUUGGAUGCGCAUCCUUGGGAAGCUCAGGCCGAAGACCCUAGAGGGAACAUACAUCGAGUCAAUUCGACAUUAACAAAAAAAAAAAAGUAACUUCUAGGAAGAAAUGGUAAAAAUAGUACUCCUUACAUGAAAUGGAAAAAGACUGUUAUCUCGCUAAGGGAAUUAAAAAAAAAUUGCAAGGCACUUAGAGACGAGACAAUUGUUCCGAAAAAAAAAAAUUAAUUUUACCAUCUUGAUUGUGUUGCCACACUCUCUGAGGAACAGUCUUAUCAAAGCGCUCUAUUCAACCAAAGGAGGUAUAGCGACUAUUACUCGCAACCAAAGGAGGUACAUCACUGAGUGUCAUGUUAACAUUUCUUUACAUCUUGUUACUUCAACUUCCAUUAACAAAGUACUUGCAGUUCACAACUACCUCACUUCCACCAAAAUGAAUUGUCUCAAUUUAUGGUUUGCCCCAAGAUUAAUGUCCAGAUUCCCAAAACUGAAAAGUUUUAUCAGCAACCCUUCCUUUGUAAGUACUUUGUGGAUCAGUGAGACUAGCCCAUCCCCCAUGUUUCCCAUCUCAUACCUAAUUAUCUAACAUGACGACCUUACAUGUUCUCCUAUUCAUCCACAUACCAUUCUAAUUUUCCAACUAUUACUUGAUAUACUUGCCUAGCCAAUAUAAAAUACCAAUUUUGGAACUCCAGGAAAAACAUUAUCACGAACUUAUGAUGUAUCUUGCAUCAAGCCAGCUCUUAUGCAUCACUCGCAUUUCAGUGCUACAACUGACAUAGUCAACCAACAUAAGUCGCCUAAUGUAUCAUUGUAAGAAAUGAAUCAUGUUGUAAACCUGUCUGACUCCCAAGGCAGCUUGAAGGGGUGUCAUGGUGUUGUAUGGAAUCUGCAGAUACAGCAAACUGAUUGUAAAUCUUCAAAGAGAAGACCGAUCCAAUGAAGUUAAAAUUUUCUAUAAAGCAUGAUAAAACUCAGAGCACCUUGGACGUCACGAGCUCCCAAAGAACAAUCGCAAAACUAAAUACAUCUGCCUUCUGAUCAUAUGGCUGGUGGUUUAUAACCUGCAAACAAGCAGAUCGAAUUUAAGCAAAACGAGCAGUUCAGCGUAAGAGAGAAACAGACAAAUAAAGCAACUCCCGGUAGUUACUACUUAUUAGGCCAUUGAAGUAACAUGAACAAUCUACUAGAGGAGUAAAAGUCAAGGGAAUAAUGGAGUGUAGAAAUUCUUUUCCAGGCAAUGGAUAUAUAACCAUUUCAAAGAUAAGAAAUCACUGGCAGUAGGCAUAUGUUAAAUCUUGUCUCACGAAGAACUGGAAAUACCAUAACAAUUUGCAAUAUGGUAGAAAAAUUAAUUGCACAGAGCAACAGCUUCAUUUAAAUAGCUAUGUGGAAAGGAUGGAACCAAAUCAAGUCUCUAAAACCACAAGCAGAUCAAAAGGAUCUCCGGCAUGCUUCACACUUUUCAACAUGCGUAGUCCAAAGGUAUACGCAAAGCUGGAAAUGAUAUAUAAACUAUAGAUGGCUUCAUUAGCUUUUUAAAGAACAAGGCAGUCAAACCUCGGGAGCCAUCCAUCUGUAUGUUCCAGUCUCAGCUGUCAUCACACCCCCAACAGAUUGAAAUCGAGCAACACCAAAAUCAGCUACCUUAACAACCUUUAAAAAAAAAAAAUUAAUGAUUACUCACAUGAGUAAUAUACUAAGCAGCACGAUGAGCAAAACUCCAAGACAUGCAAGAGUAAAAUAGAAUCACUUAAGAACCAGUAAAAUGCAAUCACCCGAUUAGAAUGUAAAAUAAAACCAUUGAUGUCCAACAAUGAUCAGUGUAUUCUAGAUGCUAAAAGGUGGCAAGACAGCUAAUCAAGGGUUCAAGAAACAUUAACAAAAAAAUCAUUCCUGCUAGUUUGAAUGCAAUCUUUUGGAGAAUCUUUACUCAAACCACACAUUGUUGGAGUCAUAACUCAAAAUAGAAGUUUAUCACCUUCUAAUUUGAAUUUCUCUACAUUCAUAUUCAAAGGCAGGUUUGUUUAAUCUCUAUAAAAUGAGUAGAUUCCAGGUAUUAUAAUCAGUUUGUUACUUAAAAGACAUGCAGGUCUCAGCAAAUUAGCAACAUCAAAUUGGCCCCACAGUUAAUCUUUUAGUUACAUAUUUGUACUGCAAUGAAUGCAAAAGCAUUUGUCUAUAGACAAGAGUUUCUUCUAACCUGAAUAUAAUUCUUAGGACAUUAAGACAAAUUUGGUCAUUCUGAAAUUAAGGUCAGAUCCCAAGAAUUUCAUACUCCCCCCCCCCCAGCCCCAAUUUUUUUUCCUCAUGUUAUUCAUACAAGCAAAAGAUGCCUAAAAUUUGCACACUGCUGCUAUUUCAUUUUUAGAUUGGAAGUUCACCUAAACUAAAUGGGCAUCACACAACAACCAUCACAGCCAUCCCAAAAGAGCAUUAUAUUUAUGGCAGUAGAAGAACUUAAUUACUUCAAAUGAUGCAAAUAUUCAUCCAAAGAAACAAGAACGGGCAACACUUGGUCAGAGAAAGACAAGUUUUGACAUUGCAGCUGACCAAAAAUCUUCACACUCAUGUCAUAGCCAAAAAUAUAGCAUGUAACUCAGCAAAUCUAACAUCCAAAAGACAAGAAAUUGGCUAGAUUAACUCUGGUCCAAAAAAGCUAUAUUCAAGGACUAUCAGUGACCAGGAGAAAAAGCUAAAGAUAUAAAUAGUUUUUUCCACAUAGUCAAACAUAAGCACCGUAUUACUUUAUCAAAAAGUGCAAAAUAGAAUUCCAUUCAGAUAAUAGUGCUAAAGGGAAGAAUUGAAUAAGCAAGAGCAUUUUGCAUUGGGUGAAAGUAAUUUUGAAUCACAUCCACUCCCUAGGGUGUCACUCUCAGAGUCAUAUCAAAGGAAUAAGUAUCGUGAAGCCAUCAAAAGCUGACCAGCUAUAUGGUUGGUAAGAUCAUCAGAUACUAACAAUAGGGACUUUACAACUACACAAACUGCUAAUUGAUUUUUUAAAAAUUUAUUUUCCAUGACAAACGCACAAAUACCUCCACUAUCUCCCCCCCCCCCCUUCCCUCACUCCCCACUGGGCAUAACAAAUCCUCCUCCUGAUAGGAAAUCAAAAACAAGUAUCAGGAUUUAACUGAAAAAGUUUUUUUUUUUUUGGGUCUACAGCCAUCAUCAAAAGAAUCCAAUUGGCACAUUCAAACUACUUACUUUGGCACUAUCCAUCAGCAAAUUUGCUGUCUUUAGAUCCCUGUGGAUAAUGUUGUUUAGAUGCAAGUAUUCCAUUCCCUUGCAGACAUCGAUGGCAAACUUCAGCAGCUGUGGGAGCUUCAACACAAUAUGGUUCUUGUGCAAAUAUUCAUAGAGGCUCCCCCCAGGCAUGAAUUCUUCACACAGCAGCAGGAGUUAUGUCAACAAGUUACAUAAGCAUUCCAACAAGGAUAUAAGUUAACUUAGUUAUCUAAUAUGCAAAACUACAAAAUGAUGUAUAGACGCCACUCAAGCAACACAUAAUACUUAAAGAGACACGAUGAAGAUGAAAAAACCAUAUGCAAUAGACGGAGUAUCUUAACAUAAGUGUCUAAGUUCCAUACAUACAAGAUAGCAAUUGAAUUUUCAAAACAACCAAAAAGAAAACAUCUUUAUUCACUUAAUUAAGAACCAACUAUGAUUAGAUCCUUUUUUUUCAUUUUCUUCGAGUACAGUUAGAAAAUGUAAGCAAUGGCAGAAGAUAAACAAGACAUGAAUAUAAAUAUUAGUCAGUCCCAAAGCCAUGUACCUGUAACUAUCCAAAAAUUAGGAGAUUUUGUACAUGCACCAAUAAAACGAACAACAUUUUUAUGCUGAACUUGCCUGCACUCAAAUAAACAUGUAGAAUUAGUCAAAUUGGUAACAACUUUUGCUUUGGACAUUGUAAAUGAAAUUGAAUCAUCAAAAUACAUCUGCACCCAUGCAAUUUAGCUAAUUGAAGAACAACACAAGAUGGCAUCUUCCUAGUUUUGAGAAGGGUGUAUCAAACAAAGAAACAAUGUCAUAGGUUUCUAAAGAAACCUGCCUGAGGAUAUAACAGUGCCGUAAUUACAAACUGCAAUGUGCGCCAAAAAUUUUUAACUGCCUAACUACUUCAAAGGCAGGAAAAGCAUGCAUGACUUUCUUUGUUUUUCCUUUCAGAUCCCUUAUUACUACCAGCUUAACCUGCUUCAUUUCUUACUCAGUUACAUGCAAAUUUUCAACUCAAAACUUAACAAAUUGCUAAGCAAAAGAGUUUGGUCAUUCAAGCUUUCAUUUAAACCUCAAGUCAACCACGUUGAAUAAUACAAAGCUUAAAUCCUACCUCGACAUGGGUAAGAUAACAUUAGCGUUCAUACUUAAGCCCCAACCCAACUGAAGCCCCCAACCUUUAGAUAAAGAAGUUACUACAAGUUUUAGUAACAAUUUAGGAUGUCUUAUUGUGGUACGGAUGCUUAAUUCUUGCAAGACAAAACAGCAAAAUAAAUUUCUAUAAUGUAAAGGAGCUAUGGAAAUUAUUUGUAAAUACACCACAUUUACGAGCUUAAACUGGUUAGUUUGCAUCAAUGUUGCUUCUCAGGAGAGCUAUCUACACAAAGAAUAAAUGAAAAAUAUCAACUCAUUUUUCAUCAUUUUAUGACCAUCCAAUGAUGCAUUGACACACUUUCUGGUGCUACUGUACACAGCCUGUCACUCUUUUUCUAAGCUCAGUCCUCAAAAUCUUAAUAAGAACUGAAAAUAACUUAUUGUUGAAAGCGCAAAAUUUCAACAGACCAAACUAUGACAGGACAGUAUUUUGGGGUUUCUCAGCAAAGAUUAAUCAUCAGAGGCUCGCAUCAAUCACAAUCAUGUACCUCAAGAUAGCCACUUCUUGAGCAAAUUCAUCCUCUAAGGUGUCAUUCAAAUGCUCCGAUCUGAGAACCUUAAUUGCAACAUCUUGACCUUUAUAAACUCCUCGAUACCUUUUGCUCAAUUGCAGUUGAGAGUGAGUGACAGAAAAAAGAAAAAAAGAAACAGGAAAUAUCUUUUCUGUUUUCUUGGCUUCCAAUCUAUGCAUAUAGGAAAAAAUGGUCAACUCACAGGUCUCCACACGACCCCGAUGCAAUUUUCUCCCCUAUUUUGAGCAAUCUUGUAUCUAUUUCCCAAUCAACAGGCUUUGCUUCCACAGGUAAAGCUUUUUCCACAGCAUGCUUGGAAUGUGUAGAGCCAGACCAAGAUCCCUAUGGCAGUCAGAACAGGGCAUUGUUUUAAUUUGAUUUUCACAAAGAGGUAACAAAAAGCAUAGGUAUCAUGUUUUAACAAGUGGGCACAUAUCACAAGUAGUGACAACAAAAGAAUAACAAUAUCAUCACAAGGAAAUUGAAUUACCAAAUUUCUAGCUAUUGCUUUUCUCAUUUCUUCAGUCAAGCCUUCUGUAUCCUGACCACAAGAUUGCAAAGUCAGCAACAUUUUGACUCAGCAGAGAUCCCUGUCAUACAAGAAAUAUAAUCACAAUGCUCCUUAUAUGAAGAUUUAACAUGUCCCAUGAGAAUGAACUCAUCCAUAUUGAUAACUCAAGAGAUACUGAUGCUGUGUUACAAGAAUGGUUCUCCCUCUCCGUUGUCAUACCCCGCAAAUCAUGAAGCUUUAGUGGUCAGCAAUGAACAGAAAAACCAACAUUAAGAAGUUUCACAUGAUAAACACAUUGUACAUGCAGCUUAAGGAUACAUCAAUUAUCACUUGUCCAAAAACCAAAAGAUGUAGUACCUAUAAAUGAAAUAUGGGAAAUAUUUAACAAAGGAAUGGCAUCAGCAUAACAGGUUCAACCAAGCAAUCUUCCAGCGCAUUGAGUCUAGAAUAUUAGCUAAAAUGUUAAAACUGAAAUCACAGUUACCUCAGCAGGCCAUCCAUCCACCACAAAAACAUCUAAAGAGUAGCCAUCAGUUGUGGAAAACACAUGAGCUUCACGGAUGUUAAGCCCAAUAUCAGAAAGCAAAGCUGAAAGCUGGAAAGAGGGACACAAAGUUUAAAGUCAUUACAAAAUGUUUAUCAGCAAAAUCAAAGCAACCAUAUCCAGUGCCUAAUGCCUAUAGCAAUUUUCUCAGAUGAAACGUAUGGUUACCCAUUUAUAUCUUAUAUCCAGUAGAUAUAGUAAGCAUGAUUAACCCGUAAGACUUUUCAGCCAUUCCAACAAAUUUAUGCUAAUAUUAUACAGUACCAUUCUCAUUAACCCUGAAAUACGGUAGUAUGUCGCAAAGUUUCUAGGACUGUUUGGCCCACUAAGCAUACUAGGGAUACCACAAUUACACAGCACCAAUUCCCCUUCGUACAAAACACUUGACAAACAAUGAUAUAAGACAUAUUAGAACAAGAUAAAUACGAAUUCUAAUAAUCAUUUAAAUGCACCAAAAAGAAAUAUUAUGUGCAACAUUCCAAAACAAAACUAAAUGAUAUUACAUCAUGUAUCAUAUAAUGCAUAUGUUUGAUUCUUACAUUCAGGGACUGGUGGGCACGUGAGACUUCAGUAACAAAAGAAAAGUGUAACCCUAAUAGUAUCAGAGUUCAAAAUUGCAGCAUAUAUGGCUAUUUUAUGAGAACUAGAUACUUAGCUUAAUGUGUCCCUCGUAUAUGCAAAUAGAUUUGCAUUAUUUUCUUUCGGUUAAUAUCAAUCAGUUAUUUCAACUUCCUAGUCCUAAUAUUACUAUGGUUUAUUAGGAAAAAAAUGCAAUAAUGCAUGUAUACUUGACUCAAUAUACAAAGGUUUUUGUUGCUUAGAAGAGCAGGACAAUCAAGUUCACUACUUUCACUUUUGGAGGCUUAGAACCUCCGGAAUGUCAAAUAUUAGCAUUGAUAUCAUGCAUAUUUGGAAAAGUUAGUGUUGAACUUAAAAUAUAACAAAAAUCUUUUUGAAAUUCAUCAACCAUAAGCUUAUGAGGCAAAAUGGAGAACUAAAAGAUUCCAUAGCCAUACUACACCAAUUUCUUCAAUUGAUAAAUUAUCUCAUUCAAGCAUUAACCUGACUGAGGAGCUUGGGCUUGUCAACAGUUGAAAAUAUUACUUCAUGGAUUGGUAUAUGUGAAACGUCCUGCCUGCACUACAGAAAAGCAAUCAAAUAACACAAAAAUCCUUGGAGUAGAAGUCUAGUAUCAUUUUAUCCAUAUGCUUAAACAGCUAAGGCCAGUGAGACUGUGGGCAAAAGAAAACACACCAAAAUAUUUGAUAAUGUCAAAAGACACUGAAGAUUGCAUUUCAUAAUGAAAAAUAAAUGUUCUGAAAAGUGAAAGUUGUGCCUGGGACCAGACUUCCCAUUUAUAUAAUUGAUAGUGUUAGACACAAAAGCUUUCAUCUAAAAGCAUCCCAAUAUGAUGAUGGAGCAGGCUAGUCACACCAAUACCUUGCUACAUAACAAUUACCAAUGACUAUGACCCACAUAUGAAAGAAAGCAUCGCCGGAAGCUACAAAUCAGAUUUGGGAUCAAAGAAGCCCAGUAAAUAAGGGAGACAAAUUAGCUAUUUGCGCACAUAACAAAAACCAAUAGGUCAUAUACAAGGUCCCCUUUCAAUAUGCAGACCUUGUAACAAUUACCGCAAGGGCACCAUUGGAUAAAAAUUGCAAAAAUGAACGAGCCAAAACUCCAAAAAAUUAAUCUUUCUUCAACAUAGAGAGAUUCACAGAUGAACAGAAAUAUACUUUAAAUCCCUUAAACUCCAAAAUUUAUUAUGGGUAGACUAAAAAGUAUUUUGGUUCAUGUAACAAGGCAAGAAUCGAAAUCUUCCUUUUGGAACUGGUGCACAUGUCGAAAGCUUUCACAUCAUUAAUUCAUCUGGCAUAGAAUUGUAAUGAUGGACAGUUCCUAACUCAAAAGUAAUCAUAAUAUAAUAUUAAAUGAAGUGUUAGAAAUAAUUUUUUGACAAAAUUUUGUUCUUUUCAUCAUUAACACUACUUCUUUUAGCUUCAUAAUUAAUGCAUUUGCCACCUUAUGUUCCAAAAUCUUUUACCAUACGUUACCUGAACAUGGUAAGUUUCUGUUUUUCUUUUUUUUUCAUCAGUCCCAAAAAAUUCUCCCAAUGUUUUGAUAUUCUGUCAUUCCACCGAGAAACUAACCAAUACAGCCCAGUAGAAUCCAACUCAUCUCAUCCGUAGUUAGAUCAAUCUUAAAAAGUUAACCAACAGACAGGAAAGCAAAGUAAAUAAAGUUCGCUUAGAAACUACCUUCUGGUAAAAUCUUCAGCUGGUGUUGCCCUCUCCAUCUCAUUGGGAUACUUUCUAACAUCCAAGUUUAGGUCCUCAAGCUUACAGCAAGGUUCAAAGUCAUUCACAGAAUUCCUGUUCUAAUUUCAGUAAAUGAAAAAAGCCAAAGAAAAUCGGGGGAAAGGGGUGAAGUGCAACACACAUAGACAAAAUGCAAUCUUGUUGGAUGAAACAAACUGCAAGGCAAGUAUUACAUAUCUAUCAUCCAAUAACAAAAACAUUGAAGUGUAAGACAUGUCAACUCUUACGAAUAUGCUCAAUCAACUGAAACAAUAAAACCAUAAUAGCAGUUUAAACACACCUAUCAUGCAGUUGCAACUUCCCGUCAUUAUCAUCACUACCAGGUGGCUUUGCAUUUGGAUAAACACUUAAGAUUUGUCGAUCCUCAGUAUCAUCUCCCUUGGUCCAAAAAUUCUUUCCAGAGUAAUGGAGGGCAGCAAGAACAUGAAAAUAAGAGACAAGGGAUAAGACUUGAAAAAAUUAACCAAAUCAAACAGGGAAUUUGUCGCUGCUGUCAUUGCAACAAGGUGAAAGACUACUAAAGAGAGAGAGUUGGGGCAAAAGUCCAAGGAUCACCAAGGGAAAGCAUGAAAAUAAGAUCACUACAACUAAGAAGAGAGAGAGGUACAUAUGUCACAUUUAAUUCUUCUUUGUAAACAAUCUUCAAAAUUAAAGUAAAUAACUCUUUAUUUAGGUUUAUGUUAUAGAUAGAAAAACGAUUUAAGACCCCAACUGGAAGAAACAAAGAAAAAGUAGACUUUAGUUUUACAUUUAAAAAAAAAAUCUCCAGUGAGAAGGGAUUGAAGUAGCAUUUCAGCAUUUCAAAGUUACUCUCACACUCAUUUUGUGUGAUUUUUGUGCUUUCUUGUGACAAGCGAGAUUAAAGAACGUGGCAAACAUCAUAAAAAUUUUCAUGGAUACCCUUCACUUUGUAUUUUCAAAUGAUUGGUAUAUGUGGCACUUUCAACAGUAACAGUAGUUAUUGCACCAUAAUGGUAUUUUCUUAUACAAUUUCACCAAAGUCUUAACAAAUCCUUCAGAUUAAGGUACUUAAACUGCAAAAUCUACCACAUACUGCAAAAGUAGAGUUCAAUCCAGCGUCAAGCAUAUGUAAUAUUCUAACUACUCAGAUACAUCAUAUUGACACAGAUUAAAGAAUUGUCAUAUAUUGUGUCUCUUUGGGUAGAAAACUGGUAAAAAUGAGAUCGAUAACAUUAUAGAUAGUGCAAAGUAUCACAAUCAAUAGUUCGAGCACUGAGAGUGGAAUUAUAGCCCUCAUUAAAUCAAGGGAUGUAGUUCAACCAAAAAAUGGGAAUUAAAGACCAUGCCAAACAUUAAAGGAAACAAAUAGAAGGGUGAUGCUUACCAACCACAAGUGAAAAACAAGAGAGCAACACAUCUGACAAGCAGUGUUACCUCUAAAAACCGAAUAUGGAAAACGGGACAAUUUUCAGGAUCUCUUGCCAUAGAAAGAAGCUUCUGAUGCAGCAAUACAUCUUCCACUCUAUCCAUAUUAAUGUCCAAUCCAUAGCUAGAAACAACAAAAGCACAAGAAAGUCAAUAAAUUCCUUAGACGACAACUCUUAUUCUCUUAGACCAGAAGAAUGCCUUCAUGCUCUUGGUGACCAUCAUUUAGAACCCUUCCCAAUAUCGGUACUUCGGUACUUCAUAAAAUCACAAUUUCAACACCCAAUGUAAAUGAAAAAAAUUUAGCAACUCAUGUUUCCAAAAACUUGAUACACACAUACACCAUAAUCUAAAAGAGAGUAUAACAGAAAUCCAUAAGCCGCAUCAUAUAACAUUCUAAACAAAGAUAAGACAAUCACAAACCAUUUAGGCUAGUUCAAAUAGACACCAACUUCUACAGCAAAAGCACACACAUGGCCAAGCCAUAAAACAAGUCAAUAUCUAUCUAACUAAGAUGAACAAAAUAAUAUCUUUAUAAAGUUCAAUAAUUGUUAAGUAAUGCCAAUUAUCACCUUUUGCAUUUUAUACAGAUGACACACUAGGCUAUAUUUGAACAGCUUCGUUGCCACAUUACUACAAAAUGUCGAAAACGAAUUCAACCCCAAAACUGCCUUUCGCAUCACAAUUAAGCAGCAAUCAGCCACAAUUCAACAAUUCCAAUUUUCAAAAAUUACAAAAAAAAAAAAGAAGGGAGAAGGAGAAUAAAAACAACAAUACUAAUCCAAAACAGAAAACCGAAACCAAUUCCACACAAGCAUUGCAUAAAUACUUUUAAAAAAAUCUCCACAUAACACCCGCACUAUGUGUCAGUGUGUGACUGCGUGUACCCUUAUAAACACUAAAAAAAGAAGUUGAACAAGCUAAAGAAAAAGCAUUAAUUCAUGAAACAACUAAAAAUAAAGAAGAAAAAUACCUAGCAGGCAAGCUGUUGAAGUGAACAUCUAGCUGCUCCCGCAACUCCGGAUUAGAAACCGCCUCAUCAUUUCCGCUCUCCACUAACCGAUUGUAAACAUCAUUUCUUAUAUCAUAAGUUCCGAAACCACCAAAACUCCUCGCCGGUGAAGAGCUCUCACCGACUCCUUCUACCAAAUCCAUAUACAGUUUUAAAAAAUUAAAAAAACAAAAAAAAAGGAAAAACCUCCUUUUCUUCAAAUUUCUAUACGCAUAUUAGCUCAAAUUUGCUAUUUUCGAAUAAAUUCUUUUUACAUAUCUGUUGCGUGGGAAAAUUCAUCACCAGUUGAGGCUUAUGCUAAGGAAGAAGAAGACUGAGGUGAGGAUCUCUGUUGACGGGUAGAGUGGGAAAGAGUUAGAGAGUAAAGAAAGGGGAAGGAGGGGGUGGGAUGAAAUUUUAGUAAAAGCAGAGGGUAUUUCUGUCAUAGCAUAGUUUUGAUGUAAGAAAGUUGAGGGCAUUUUUGUCAGGAUAGUUUUGACGUAACAAGAAAAUGGAGGUCUUUUCCCGGUUUUGUCCCGGUAGGACGAGUGGUUUGUGGGGUAAAUAAUUUAUGUGUUUUUAAAGGUGCAGUAGUGCGUGAGAGAGGAAACGAGACCACGAGGCGUCAUUUUAAUUCUUCAUUCUUUUUUUUUUAUUGUAUUAAAAAAGUGGAUAGGGAUAGGAUUGAAGGCACAUCACAUAGGUACGGUUUUUGCCAACAGCCCACGGGACUGUUGGUAACCCAAAAGACAUCUUAAAUCUUGGAAAGGUGCGAGGUCAAUGGUUCAAUCCUUGCCUCUCAUCAAAAUUUAUCAUAAUUUGUGGCGAUUUUAAUUGAUCUUUAUCGAUGGAAUCUAUACUUACAUCGAGUCUCAUUCUCCUCCCCCUAGAUUAGGCUAGAUUAGAUUAUAGAAAAUUUAUCGUUGCGCAAAAAAAAAAAAAAAAAAGAAAAACUAUGUUUUUUUUUUUUGGGAUAGUUUUUGUGAUUGUGUUGGAUAUGUUUCUAAUGUAUGGUGCAUGUGGCCUUUUAUGAAUUUGGACAAUAAGAUGCUUUCUUGAUGAUUUGAAAGGGCACUACGGAAUUUAAGGUACAAAAAGUUUGAAGUCAUUUGAAGAAUGGAUAAUGUUGGUGGAAAAAAGCAUAAUGUUUGUUUGGAGUGUAAUAAAAUUUGGUAAAGUUGAGAAUUUAAGUCACAGAAUUUGAUCGAUUUCGUCAAGCUAUGCUUGGACUUGGCUUGAUGAUUUGACGUUGAGAUAAAGAUUCCUUUUACGUUUGUUUACUGUGUUUGGACUUGGCUUGAUGAUUUGACACAGAGAUAAAAAUUCGACCUAUGUUUGUUUACUUGAGUGGAGUUGAAAUUGAAAUACUAGUUCAAUUGAUUAUUCACAGCAUGAAAUAGAUGUAAUAAAAUUGAAAUUUAUAACGAUCAACUAGGUUAACAAACUCGCAAGUUAUUUGGGUCCGAUCGUGCUAUGUACUUGAGUAGUUCGAGUCAAACUUGGCCGAAGUUUAGGCCUAAUUAAGUCCCAAGCACAAGUAAACCGAAGUUGAAUUCUAAUGUUUAGAUAGUAAAUUAUUUGAGAUAAUUUUAUGAAAAAAUACUGUAAUAUUUUUUUAAUGUGAAAUAUAUGAGAUAAAAAAGAUGAUUGAAAAAUGCGUUGAUAGUGCAAGUAAGUCAGUGUGUGUAAAUAAUGUAGAAAUAACGUGUAAUCCAAACAGUGUAGCUACAACGUCUUCUUUUUAGCCACGAGGGAGUGACGGAGUUUUACCUAAAAAGUUAUGAUUUUGUAUACGUAGUAGUAGAGUGGUAAAUUUCAAUGGAUGUCUCUUUUCCUUUUUAUCUUUUUUCACAUGUAGGUAAUAAAAAUUUCAAAUAUUACUGGUAAUAGAACAUAAACCAAAGUGCAAAUAUUUUUAACUAUGUAGAAUUCUACAUAGUUGGUUUACCACUAAUAUAAAAGUUUCUGAGAAAGUAAAGCUGAAUGGAUUGAGGUUCAAUAAUUAAAGUCACAGGCAACGUUAUGGAAUUGAAAGUGGAAAAUUAAAGAGCUCAUAAAAAUCUUGAAUUCAUUGGCAAUUAUUACGUAGUCAGGCGGCAGUUUUGUUUGGAAAUGCUUAUGAUGAUAUCACCCGCCGCCGUUUCUACACCCAAAACCGCGUUCCAAAAAUUUGUGUAUAAAAUAAAAAAUAUAUGUAUAUAAAUAUAAGCUUCUAAAAAUAAAAAUUACGUAUAAAUUUACUUUCUUUCAUUCGUUUACUGCAAACAAUCUUAGGUCAUGCUUGGAUUGCUUGUUUCUGUCGGAAAAUAUUGUCGUUUUCCGUGAUCACAUUUCCCUAUCACAUUUUUCUCUCACAUAUAUCGAAUCACUACAGUAAUUUUUCCAUGAAAAAUAACGGAAAAUGUAAUCCAAACACAACUUUAGCAUGUAAAUAAUAAUAUGUUCAUUCCACCACACUAUGCACCUCAUUGUUUAAAUGAUUAGUUAGUACAUAAAAGAGACUUAGUGCAUGUUUGAUAACAUAAAAAAGUGCUGAAACUGAAUUCAUUCAGACAUUCAGAUGUUGUGGGUGUUUGAUAAAUAAAAAUUCACCUGCUGAACUUAUUAAGUGGUGCUGAAUUUGUAUGUAUUUUUUUCAGCACAAGAAUCGUAGCUGAAUGCUUAAUUUGAUAAGAAUCAAGAGAUUUACUUCAACUACUUUAUUUUAUCUACCAAAUAUAUCCCUGUUUGUUAAUCACAUUCAAAAUCCUUAUUUAAUUAAACAACCUAAUAUUUCUUAUUCAAAAUCCUUAUAUAAUUAAACAAAACAACCUGAUAUUCUCUAUUCAAAAAUUUUUUUUAACAAUAGUAUUUUUUUGCAGUAAUUUUCAUCCACAAACAUUUAUAUUUUGAUUUUUUUUUGUGCAGAUAAAUAUUAUUUAUGUGAUGCAGCUUAUCCACACACACGUGGCUUUAUGACACCAUAUCGAAAUAUUAAAUAUUGGUUGUCUGAUUUUCGAAAUGCUUCUCGUCCAAGAUCAAAAGAAGAACGCUUUAACCAAGCACAUGCAAGAUUGAGAAAUGUAAUUAAACGUGCUUUUGGAGUAUUAAAAACUCAUUUUCCCAUUCUCAAAACGAUGAAACCAUACCCUUUUCCCACACAAAGAAAUAUUGUCAUUGUAUGAAUUGCUCUUCACAAUCAUUGUCAUUUUCAUACCUAACAAUUUUAAAUUAAUUAAAUCAUAGGUUCUAUUUCCUUUUUGGAUUAAAAGAUAGAAAGACAAAAUUGUACAAUUUAGCUUAUUAAGUAUUAAGUUAUGAAUAUUUAUCAAACAGUAUAAAUAGAUUCAGCAUUAAGAUUCAGGCAUUCAUAUAUCUCUUUUCAGUGCUUAAAAUUCAGCAAAUUAAUUAUUUAAGUAUUCAGAAUUUGGAAUUCAGAUUCAGUGUUAUCAAACGGAGCCUUAAUUGUUCAAUAAUUUAAUGGGUAAGAUGCAGCUUAUCGCGGAUAAAUACCACAUCUUAAAGCAUUUUCAAUUAUUGUUAUUUUUUUAAGUAGGGGAGGAGUGAGAUUUGAGAAUCGAAGAGGGAAAAGAGGAAUUAGAACUCAGGACCUCAACUUUAACAACUAAAUCAGGGCUUCCUUGAUUAAAAAUAAAAAAAAUGUCUUCAAUUGAUUAAAUUUGUGAAAUUGCCCUUUAAAUUCUAGAAAUCCUAAGGUUACUGAUGUGGAUCUUUCAUGCUAAGUUGGCACAUUGGAAAAAUAUCAGUAAAUAUAAACUAUAUUCAAUUUUGAGAAAUAACAUAUUGGCAUAUUGAUAUGGGAAUAACAUUAUGGAAAAUUGAAUUAGAGAAUUCAAGUGAUACAAACUCCUAUAAAAUAGUGAAAAUUUUAUGAACUUAGUUAUUAUGCAAGUUUCUUAAACACACACACACAGAAACACACAUAUAGAAGAAUUUUCCUUCACCAAAAGCAGAAAAAUUAGGAAAAAAACUCAAAGAAGUUUAAAUUCGACCUAUCGAAGGCGAUGGUAAGGUUUAGCCAUUCUGUUUUUUUUUUUUUUUUUUUGGAAGGGGAAAAAAGGGUUUGGCCAUUCUAGUGGUACAAAAUGGUGACUGAGUUUAUAAGGACCCUUAAUUUGUUUAAUUAAUUUCUAGGAUGUGUCCAGAGUCUUUAAACUAUUGGACCAAACAUAGAGCCAUCACCAAAUAAAAAUUUGGACCCAAGUUUUAGGCAUCACCAAAUCAAAUAUUUCAUCAUUUAUGUCACAAUCUCGGAGUACUAUUUUGUGCUUAACCACGUAAUAGUUAGUGACCUGCAGAUCAAAUGGAGUUGGUAGCAUAUUUUUAUAUGAUCUAAUGCAUGAUAAUAAAUCCGAGGAUAAGGCAUAUACCUUUUGCGAAGUUUAUCCUUUGAUCUAGUUAAAGUCAUCAAUAAGGACAAGUGAUGAGUAUUUGUUACUAACAAAGGAAUUAUAUAUCUCUCUACUUUUUGUAUCUUUCAAGGUAACUCAAUCUCCAAACUUUGUUACUAAAUAUGAGAUUCUUCCCACAAGUAAUAUAUAAUUAGAAUGUGAAGGAACAUAUAAAAAAGCUUAGGAUGCGUUAAGUAUGAAAACUGAAAUCUGAAGUUGGAAUCUGAAUUCAUUAAGUCGUUAAAUUGUGAAGUACUAAACACUAACUGAUAAGUGAAUAAUUUAUCAUUUAUUUUUAGGAGUAAAUUUUGUCUAAAAAACUCAGUGCCACUUAAAUAAUUCAAAUAUUCAAUUUUUAGUUAUCAAAUGUGUUGAAUAUGUUAAGAUCUGAAUCCACUAAUUGCUAAAUUGAGUAAUCAAAUAGGAUUUUAGUUAAAGAACAUUUUUCGUAGAACCAGUAGAACCAAAAGGUAGACAAGAAAUAUCGUCCAACAAAUUUGCUCAACUCAUUUGAUAGUAAAACGUUUAGAAAAGUCCAAAUUAAAUCUGCCAAACCAAUUUCGUCCACGCACUAGAGUAAUGCACGGAAUUUCUAGAUACACUUCAUUUAAAAUUUAGAGUAAAUGUUAUAUAUAUAUAUAUAUUGUCAGUCAAUGUAUACAUUAUCACAGUUAGAUUAAUGACGCAUAAGUUAAAUUUGAAUUUUAAAUUCAUGUCAAGUUUAGUUGUCAUGUAUCUAAUAUUAGUAGUGCAUAUACUGUCAGUUUAUAUAAAAUUAAUCCUAAAAGUUAUAGUAUCAACUAGACAAAUGCAACAUUCCAAAUUUCAAACUUUGUCCUCAUUGAAAACGAUAAAUUCUCUAUGUAUCAAAACCGAUGUUUAAGCUAUACUAAACUUGUCUCCAGAACAGAUACUAAGUUGUACAGUGUAAUUUUUAUAUUUUUGCAACUCUAUUAAACCUAAUAAUGUUUUAGAUCAGAUAACAUGUUCUAUGUAUUUUCUACCAUUAAUACAACUAUCUUUAUUAAGCAAAUCGUGAUGGACGAUUUUCACCUGGUUUAUUAAUGGAUUUUUCUAACGAAUAUCCACUGGGCACUCACUAACACAUCUAACAUUCACCUAAACUAUCAUAUAUAUACAUAUACUAACAAUUAUUACCUUCCCUUACAUUUACAUACUUUUCCUAUUUAAUCUUACAUAUCCUCUCUUGUAUUUAUUUACUUUCUCUAAUUAAUUUUACAUUUCCAAAGAUAUCACACCUGAAAUAUAUCUUAACAAGUAUCCUAUGGGCACCUGUUAAAUAGACCCUUUAUUAAUAAUAUUGGCUUCUGUUUUAUAAAAAAAAAAAAAAAAAAACUUGUAUCCAAGUAUUAACUAAUGUCCAAAAGAAGAAAAUUCCAAAACUGUACCAUAUAUAUAAUAAAACAGAGCCAAUAACGAGAUGCUACCAAAAGAUGCCUGCGUUACCAAAGAAACGACUUGACUUCUCCUAUAAAAAUAACGAGACCUGAAUUCUAAUUAAAGUUGGAGAUUAUCCAAUUAAUUGGACUGAAAAUCCUUUUUGCAUAUUAACAAUUUCUGCCCUUGGAAUUGUGAUUCACUAUUUUCUUUUGUGACAACUGUUUUUCAAAGAAACUAAGAUAGCAUUAUGAGUUCAGUAAAGAGGAAAUGCAGGGUAGAAACAAGAAUUCAUGGGCCUAUAGUCAUUUUCUAUUUGAUAAAAUGAGUGAUUCACAUCACUAUGGAGAUAUAGUUGAUUAUUUAGUGGUCAUAUAGAUGAUAUUGGAUUGGUGAAAUAUUAGCGAUAUAUCUAAUGUAAUGAAAUUACCACUCAAUUAUCAAAUAUUGAUUUAAUGAUCAUCUUAAUAACAUGUAUUAAGUCAAAGAUCAAUAGCAGAUUACUUAAGAGAUAUCCACGCGCGCGUAUUCUGAAGAAUAUUAUAAGACCUCACUUUUGGUAUCAUAUGCAUCAAAUUUGACAAUGGAAGGCAUAUACUAGAUAUAUGUGUACACACACAGACACAUGGAUGCACGCACACACAUAUACAUACAUACAAAUAUAUAUACAUUUAUAUAUACACACACAUACAUACACAUAUAUGUGUGUAUAUGUGCGUAUGUAUUUUUUAAUAUUUCGUUGUCACUCUUUAAACUAUUCUGUAAACACACACAUAGACACACAGACACACAGACACACACGUACACAUGCACAUAUACACAAACAAAUAUAUGUAUGUGUAUAUGUGUAUGUAUGUAUGCAUUUUCUAGUAAAGUAUUUCUUCUACUAAAUAGAAGCCCACUAGAUGCUUCACUGUCACUCUUGAAAUUAUACUAGACCAAACCAUUGAGGAUCUUCUUCUUUCUGCUCGUGUUCACACUGGUUCAUUUUGUGAAUGAAAACCCUGUGUCCAUGAACCAUACCUUUAAUCAAUUAAAUUUGACAUCUACUACUUCAAAAGCCAUUUUCUGCUUCUUUGAUGGAGGAAUAAAACUAAAAAUAACUGCAAUUCCACUUCUGGAUAAUGACAGAUAAAAGUGGAAGGCUGGUGCGACAAAUCGAUGCUGAACAUAAUUGAUCAGAUUUCAUUCUCACGAGUACUGUUUUCGCUUUAUAAGAUACUACUGCCCCAUGUGUUUAUUAAAAAGAUCAUUGUCACCCUUAGAACUCAGAACUGUGAAUCCGCAGGUGAUUUGACAUAUGCGGGCUUAUAGUUGAUAGGCAUGGCCAUUAAUGGGAUUUUCUUGAAGGUUUGGAUCAACAUUUGAAAAGGGUUUUACCUCUGUAGUAACAUCUAUCAUACUCUAAUCCUAAGAAAAAGAGGUUUUUUUGUUUUUUUACCUGUUUUCUUGAAUAAAAUUGUUACAAGGGAGGGGCAAGUAAUAGAGGGCAGAAGAAUUGAACCUUGUUCAGGGAUGAAACGUAAAGGCUCUUAAUUCCUAAUAUAUUCGACUCCCAAUAUGAUAUCUUGGUACAUAUGCUGUACAACCAAAUCAUACAAGUUGUUAACACUUUAAGCAUGAACUUUGAGUGUGUGUGUGUGUGUGUUAAAAUUGGAGAUUGCAGCUCUAAAUUUUGCUAUUAAGUGAAUGACUAUUCCAAUAAGAUAUAUCGAACGUAGAGUUGAUAUCUUGGGUGAGUUUACUACUACUACUUCCCUGCUUCCACUAAUUGAGUUAAUACAUAUGCUUGAAAACUGCAAUCAACAAAAAUUUGUUAAACUGCUAUUUGUACCUCGUGUCAUAAUAUGUACAAGUAAGCUUAAAAGUUCUUCGCACAAGGACUGAUUCCUAGGAUAAAAUUUCAUUUGAGAUUUAGCCAAUUAAAGGGAAAAAAGUUUUAAAAAAUGAAAAAAAAAAAAAACUUUCGAGAUGUUAACUUUUUAUGGUUCAUCACAACAGUUCAUUCUCUUUAAAGGUAAAUAUGAGGGGGGAAAACGAAGAGAAGAGAAGUAAAUUUAUCUAUCUAAAUCCAAAAAUGGAUGUGAAAAAAAGGAAAGAAGGGUCCAUGGUAAAAGCAGCCACUAGUUGAUUAGUGCAUGCACCUUUCAACUCAUGGAACAAGGGUUUUAGAUGGCCUAAAGGUCCUCACAUCACGCCCACAAUGUCCUCUCAGGGUGCCAUGGGGCGCUGUUGUUCUCAUAUUCUUCUGAACAAUAAUUGCAUUUUAUCCAAAACUUAUCCUUAUUUGGGGGACCCUGCACUAGACACAACCCACUAAAUAAUCAAAUGAUAUUCCCUUUGAUAGGAUGCGUAAUUAUUGUUGAUAAAUUUAUAAAUAUUUUUCCUUGAUUUUGGUCAAAUAUUGUAUUAAUUAGUAGAUUUUACUCAUAUUUAGUUAUUAGUGUUAAUUAUAGAUAAGUGAAGCAAAAAAAUAGUUAAAGGAGGCAAUUUUUCGGAAGAUUAUGAACCAAUUUGGCAUGGCACGGUCAAUACAUGCUGUCAAGUCUGGGAGGCUCGGGAUUUUUCUUGCCUGUGGGGAUUUCUUAGUUCGAGUUGAACUCCGUGCAGAUUUUGACCGAAAAUUUAGAAAAUAUCUUUAUUAGUUAUAGUAUUUGAUUAGGAAACAAGGGAUAUUAUCUUUUGUAGUUUUCCCUUUCCAAUUAGGAAAGGUACUUUAUUUCUUUAAUAGGUACAAUUUAGGAGAUAAAAUAGGAAGAGGGUCCGCUGGCUAUAUUAGUAGAGUAGUACUUCCGAGGAAAAACAAGGAACUUUGGCUCGUGAUUGAUUAGUCUUGGCAGGAACAAGAAACAAAAGGCUAUGUUCCUUUUUGGUUUCUUAUCGUCGAAUGUUCAUGAAACUUUUGUCAAUGAAAUUGUUUGAAUUAUUCCCAACGAUGAGCGGCUAAUUUCUUAUUCUAGUCAAAGGGUAACAAAGGAUUUAGUUCAACUACAACUGAGAGAUCUAAUUAUUUUUAUUUGUUUCUUUUAUUCGUUAAUAUUCGUAUAUUUUCUGAUUUAACUUCUCAUAACUGUUUUAUUAUUUGAAUAUCAAGGGCCCGAUAUUUAAUUCAACCUAACAAUUUAUUACCAAUUAAGACAGUUAAAUUCGUAAUUAUUUAAUUAUUUUAAAUUAGUGGCGACUAGCACGAUUGGUUUCGUGUUAGGAAAACAUAUAGUCUAAUUUAAAUAAACCCUGAUAGCGUGCUUUAUUGAUUAGAACAAGGUUUUUUUAGUUUUUAAUAUAAUCAAGAAAUUAAAUUCUAUGGGCGUACCUAGUAUUGUUUCUUAGUUAGGAGAAUAUUAACGGGUGUACCUUAAUUAUCGAAAAAGUAAGAAAAAAUUGAUUGUCAUCACUUGUUUGGCAAUUAUAACCUGUUUAUUAACAAAUAGAUGAAAUAAUUAUUGCAUCAAUGAACAGUUGUAUGAACUACUUCUGAAGUUAUUUCCUUGGUUAGAGUUUGUUUAUUAUUGAUUUAAAGUUAAUCUAUUUCAGUGUAAUUAUUUUUAUUUACGGUAAUUAUUUAUUUUAAUUUCAAUUUCUCAUACCUCCGAUUUGAUUUUUGCUUGGAAGGAAAUAAAUCAUCCAGUCUCUAAGGAGACGACCUUAUUCACCGUUAUAUCUAAAUUUAAGUUUUUAGAGUAGAAUUUUUAAUUUUGGUGGUUUGACAUCCAUCAAAUUUUAGCACCAUUGUUGGGAACUGGUGCCUUUUCGAUUUAUUUUCUUCAAAAUUUUUAUUUUUAUUUUUCUUUUUUUUUUAAACUAAUCUAUGACUGCUAAUAUUUAAUAUUUUGAUAAUAGAUUGGAUUUUAUUCUUAGGAGGGUUAAUGAGAUUCGUGUCUCUUCUAAUGAUCAAUAUUUAGAUACACUAAUCUUUCUUGUGAAAAAAUUGGAUGUUGCAAUUUGUGAAAUUUGUUAUGUUUUGAAUCAUGCAAAUCGCAACGAAUUUUCUGUGCCACACCCUGUCUCACACCCUAUCUCACUUCUUCUAAUCUUGCCAAGUGUCCCUUGAUAAACCAAACUCUCAAACAACCCAAUCCGAACCAUGUUAAAUUGAUUAAUCGAUUACCUGGGUAGAGAAACUCAAUCUCUAUAACCAAAACCGAAUAAAAUAAAACUAUCUCACAAAAUCACAAUUUAUUUAGGGAAAAAAGCCCUAAAACUCAGUUUAACAUCUGGCCUCUCGUCAUUUUCUUCAUCAUCUUCACCAUUAUCUUCCAAAAAUCACUCACAAUUCACACACACAAAUUGAUGAUCCGUUGCACACAAAUUGUUCAAACUUGAAAUAGACAAAUUGAUGAUCCGGGUUAGACUAUCUUUCUCACGCCCACAAACACUCCCGCAGUAGACUAUCUUUCUCCCCCAUUCACACACAUAAAUUUUGCAGACUAAAAUCUAGCAGGAAAAUUCAAGAUUUUUUAGAGGAACCCAAGUUUUAUUUUCCUUUUUCCUUGGUGGGUUUCUUCGAAUACCAGAUCUUCUUGUAGAAAUAUAUUUAGUUUUAGUGUAAAUUUGUACUGGGUAAUGGGUACACAAUUCUUUAGAACUAUGGGAGAAGUAACAGUCACAAUUCUUUAGGCUGUGGAGUUGUUGGCGGUGCAUUCUGGAGGGAAGCCCUGAGGAAAACAUUUGGCAUCUGUACAAUAAUUGUAUAUCAUGUAAUUCUGCUGCACCCAUUUCAAUCUGGCUUGACUAGAGGCAUCAAGUUCCUGAGAGAACCAUGGCUUUGUGGAGUUUGAUCCACAAGAAGAUUUCCCAGAGCUCCAUACACAAGCAUUGGCCUUGAAAUUUCUCAAGGAAGCAGUAAAGGGAGACUGUGACCAGUCAGUCUUGACAAGGCCGCCUCUUGUGGCCCAGUCUUCUGCAUCCCGUAGACUAGCGUAUACCUUCAUCGGUUGGUUCUUCGGAUAUGGAAUCCCCCUUGCUUCCAAAUUCUAGUGCGGGAAAAAUCUUCAAAUACCAGAUCUUCUUGGUGGGUUUAUUCAAAAUUGCGCAACGGAAGUUCAACUGGGUUUGUUUCAACGGUGAAAAUGAUGACGAGAGGACAGAUGUUAAACUGAGUUUUAGGGAUUUUUCCCUUGAUAAAUUGUGAUUUUGUGAGAUAGUUUUUAUUUUAAUCGGUUUUGGUUAUAGAGAUUAAGUUUCUCUGCCCGGUUAAUCGAUUAAUCAAUUUAACAUGGUUCGGGUUGGGUUGUUUGAGAGUUUAGUUUAUCAAGAGACACUUGACAAGAUUAGAAGAUGUGAGACAGAAUAUGACACAGAAGAUCCGUUGCGCAUUCAAACAACAAGUGCCCCGUAUUUCAAGAUGAUAUGAGUACUCCAAUUAAUACUUUUGGAGCUUUCCCAACCCUGUCUCAAAUGUGGUAUAACCCUUAUUCAAUCAUGUAUAAUCAAGAAUGGUGAAAUAACUCCAACUUUAAUUAUGCAGCAAGGUCAAUAGGUUUUCAAUAGCAACAAUCAUCAUCCACGUCAGGUAUGUCUUUUGAAAAAAUUAUUGAAUUACUAGAUACUAACACAUAUCGAUUUCAACAGGAGACAUAUCGAUUUCAACAGAAGACAAAAAUAAGAAUUAGAAAUCUGGCGGAUCAAAUGUGUCCAUUAGCAUCUAUAGUGAGGCAAUUGGCUUCUCCAAUUUGUGAAAAAUUGCCAUCACUGACCAUUAUCAACCUGAAAAAAGAUGAGAGCGUAAUUAUCCCAACAAGUGAUAAAGAACUACAAGAUUCUCAAGAAGAAGGAUCUAAAAAUGCAGUUGAAAAGAAAGAAAUGAGACUCCAACAUUAAAUUGCUCUUGUGAACAAAUCCAGUGAACAAUUCUCAAAUGUUGUGACACCUCCCUUAUUUCCUAACCAACAUUCUCCUAACUCUUAUUCUGUGAUUUCUAUUACGGAGAUUGAUUUUGUUAUACCAAAAAUUUUUGAGUUUCAUAGGAGGAGGAAUAAAUUAGAAAUUGCAAUGACCAAAUAUCUUGAAUUGAUAAUUACUCAUGAUGGAGGAGUGAGUGAAGAAUUAAAAUCAUUACUUACUUGUUUUGAACCAUCUACUAGUCAAUAAAAGAAAAUAACUCAUAUGCUUAAAGAUUACUCUAUUUACGAAAGUUAUCAGGAUUACAUAGAGAAUGAAACAUUGAAACGAACUAUACGAUUUUAUCCUCCUUGAACAAACAUGAUAAUAUCUAAUAAAAAAUAUUAAAGAAAAGCGCUUAUUGAGAAGCAAUCUAAUUAAUUUUUAGUUUAUUUUUAUUACUUUUAUUUUAGAUUUCUUGUAUUUUAUGCGUUAAAUUUUAAUUUUGUUGUUUUAGUAGACAAAAGACUACUACGAGACAAGGCGCACCUAUGCCUAACUAACUCAUUAGUUGUAAAGACGUGUUUAAAAAUUUUAGAAGAUUACUGGACAACAAGACGUGCCCAUAUUUAUGAGUUGUGAUGGCAUUGAUGAGUUGAAAAUGUUUAAUCAAAAGAUUCCUUAUAUUUUAGGCAUGCCCGCAUCUAAAAUGAUUGAAGAAUUUGGUGGCUACUUUGCUUCCAUUGGUUUCACCCCACCUUUUGCUCCACAUCCUUAGCAGUGAGCUAGGUGCCCUCCUCCAUGUGCAAGAAAGUUUCAUUGUCCCUUUUACUUCAUCUUUUGAUAUUUAUUUCUUACAUUGGGAACAAUGUAAGGAUCAGAUGUGAGGAAAUAGUAUACUAGUAAAGUGCAAGUGUAACCAUUAUGACAUUUUUGUUGAAAUUUUUGUUCGAAAUUUUCGAAUUUUAUCCAAUUUUUUGUCAAAUUUUGUGUAUUUUUGUGGUUAUUCCUGAUAAUCAGUGGCUAGAGUCUCAAAUCUGACUAUUGUUAAGGUUUAUGAACUAAUGUGUUAAGUAUGAUGUGGUAAUAUCUAAAUGUGUCUCUCUAGUCAAUAUUUGAGAUUUUGUAACUUUUACAAUUUUUGGUUAAAUUUUUUAGGCAUUGUAAAUAUUCUUUUGGUAUUUUUCAUGUAAAUUGGUUCAACUAUUAAUCUCAGUUCUCUACAUUUAGAAAAUGAAGUGGACUUGUGUGAUUUUAAUUUUAUUUUGGUACUUAUUUGUGAAUUAUAUUUGGCUAUACUACACUAGUUAUCAUUAUCUAGUAACUGAAAAUUUUCACCACAAGUGUCGACUUUCGAGUCAAAAAAUAAUGAUAGUCAUGAGUAUGUGGAUCUUAAAUAAUGAGAGUUGAGUAAUGGGACUCUUUCAUUUGAUAGAUGUUAGAGUUUGCAUCAAAAAAUUUGAAUGGCUAACGAUUAAGGAUUUUUCCCUUGAAAAGAAAACAAACCUUAAGUGUAGGGAUAUUUUAGAAAAGAAAAAAAAAAGUUGUGCUAAUAGUGAAAAGUGAAAAAGUGCAUAUGAAAGUAAGAGUAUGUGAAUAGUUAUGUUAGCCUGCUGAUCCAAGAGUUUUAAGAUUGAGAUUUUAUUUAAUAGUCAAACCAUUUGCUAAGGAAUGAUAAUUGAGUAUUUUAUAUUCUUAAAUUAGUUAGUCGAAAAUUAGAAGAGUCCCUAGUUUUAAAAGUUAAUCAGAAAGAUAUUUCUUGAAGACUAACCACUAAUGCUUGAUAUAUGUAUUAAUUGUACCUUGGCAAUGAGUGACUUAGGCAAUGGUCAUUGUUUGAACUUGAUCGCCUGAUUGGUUAUUCUCAUGCUUGAGUAAGUAUGGGGGGAAUUGAUAGGGUGCGUAAUUAUUAUUAAAUUUAUGAACAUUUUUUCUUGAUUUUGGCCAAAUAUUGUAUUAAUUAAUAGAUUCUACUCAUAUUGGUUAUUGGUAUUAAUUGUGGAAAAGUGGAAAAAAAAGUAGUUAAAGGAGUCAAAUUUUCGAAAGACUGAACUAGUUUAGCGUGGGUGCGAUCAAGACAUAUCAAAUCUGGGAAGCUCGGAAUUUUUCUUGUGCGUGGAGGUUUCCUAGUUCGAGUUGAACUCCGAGCAGAUUUUGGCUGAAAAUUUAGAAAAUAUCUUUAUUAGUUAUAGUAUUUGAUUAUGAAACAUGGGAUAUUAUCUUUUGUGGUUUACCUUUUUCAAUUAGGAAAUGUACUUUGUUUCUUUAAUAGCUACGGGUCCGUUUGGAUUCCUUGUUUUUGGGUCUGUUUUUGAAAAACUGUUUUUCACAUUUCAAAUGCUACAGUAAAUGUGUAUUUCAAAAACAACUCCAAAAACACCAUAUCCAAACAAUAUAUCAAAAAUAACUCCAAAUACAUAUUUAACAUGUUUAUUUCAAUUUGUAUAUCUCAAUUAUGUAUAGGAUAUAUAUAUUAUAUUAAUUUAAAUAUAUUUAUUUAUACAUAUUAUAAAUAUUUUAUUUUAUAUAAAAUAUAUUUUUAUAUAUUUAUAAUAUAUUUAUAUAAAUAUUAGAUAUUUAAUAUAUACAUAAUAUAUAUUUAUAAUAUAUUAUAUAAAUAUUAUAUAUUAUAUAAAUUAAAUAUAUAAUAAAUAUAUGAUUUAAUACAUUUAUAUAAAACAGGAAGAGGGUCCGCUGGCUAUAUUAUUAGUACACUAGUACUUUUGAGGGAAAAAAAAAAGAACUUUCGCUCGUGAUUGAUUAGUCUCGGUAGGCACAGGAAACAAAAGCUAUCUUCGUUUUUGGUUUCUUAUCGUGGAAUGCCACGCAACUUUUUGUCAAAAAACUUGCUUGAAUUAUUCUAGUUAAUGGAUAACAAAGGAUUUGGUUCAAUUACAAGUAUGAGAUCUAAUUGUUUUUAUUUGUUUCUUUUAUUUGUUAAUAUUUGUAUGUUUUCUGAUUAUUUUGUUGUUUGAACAUCAAGAACCCGAUAUUUAAUUCAAUCUAACAAUCUAUUGCCAAUUAAGACAGUCAAAUCUACAAUUAUUUAAUUAUUUUAAAUUAGUGGUGACUAACGUGGUUGGUUUCAUAUUAGGGUAACAUAUGGUCUAAUUUAAAUAAACCUGGUAGCAUGUUUAUUGAUUAGAACAGAGUCUUUCUAGUUUUUAAUACAAUCAAAAAAUUAAAUUUUAUGAGCGUACCUAGAGUUAUUUUUUGAUUAGGGAAAUAAUUUAUAGGCGUACCUUAACUAUCGAAAAAGUAAGGAAAUAUAUUGAUUGUCAUCAUGUGUUUGGCAAUUAUAACCUAUUUAUUACUGAAUAGAUGAAAUAAUUAUUGUAUCAAUGAGCAAUUGUAUGAACCACUUCUAAAGUUAUUUCCUUGAAUAGACCUUGUUUAUUAUUGAUUUAAAGUUAAUCUAUUUCAAUUUAAUUAUUUUUAUUUAUGGUAAUUAUUUAUUUUAAUUUCAAUUUCUGAAACCCCCAUUUAAUUUUUGCUUGGAAGGAAAUAAAUCAUCCAAUUUCUGAGGAGACGACCCGACUCACCGCAAUACUUGAAUUUAAGUUUUUAGAGUAGGAAUUUUAAUUUUGGUGAUUUGACACCCGUCACCCUUACUUUGUUUCAAUUCAUUUGAUACUUUUUUUAUUGUAUACCUUUUCAGGAAAAAAAUUGACAAUAUAGGAGUAUUUAAUAGGAAAAUAAUCUAAUAAUUGUAACUUUGGUUAUUAGUAGUCUUCCAUUUUUUAUGAUGUAGAUAAUUUCUCAGAAUUAUAAUCCAUCUUUGCAUCAUAUCAAACUAAAACAUCCCAAUUACUCUAAUUAAACCACUAUUUUUGUAGUCUAAGAAAAAUUGCAAACAAGUUUCUGCAAAAUAUCCAUUUGAAAACUGGUCAAGCUUAUCCUAAAUACUCAAUGAAAUGGAAUAUUGGAAUCGGCUUUUCUCAUAGUGCGAAAAGCCUAUAGAAACUUGAUUCUGCAAAUCAAAGGUGGCACAUAUCUGGUGUGUUGACGCUUUAAUCUUGUUAUUAGAACAUAAACAAGUUGCUUAAACGUUUUAAUAUUAGUAAACAAAGUACUUGCAGGCAUGUGAUAAUAUAAAUUAGCAGAUUCAACGAAUGUUAAUCAAUUUGAUCAAAGAAUUAGGUUCCAUGUUUUGUCCCUGGCUAUUAACUUUUUCUCAAGGAGAUUACACCUAGGGAAGAGGAUACAUUUAAAUAUAGCACGUUUAUGACAUAAUGCAGGCCUCAUAACUUGGAGGAAAUUUAAAAUGAUAGAAAAUUUCUCGAGUUCCAAUUUUAUUUGCACUGCAUUAUAAGAUAUGAAUCUUUAAUUUCUUUCUCUAUGUCAGUAUUUGCAUUAUUUUGCUCUGAGUCAUGCAUGCAUGCGUAAAAGAGAAUUCAUGCAUUCAUAUCAUACACUGAUUUUGAUAUGAUUAUGGUUUUUUUUUUCCCUCGAGCGUGUCAUCUCAUAUUCUUAAUUAGAAUAUUGAUUUCUUUUCACAUAAUUUAAUCUUUUUUCGAGUACGUUAUAUAAUAAAUCUAAAGAAAAGUAAUCUUCCAGCAUCAACACCAUAUACUACAGUAAAAGGUUUUAUCUAAAUUAUAACUAAAAUUAACUUUUUAUACACUGAUAAUGUAGUGAUUUUUUUAUACGAACAGUAAUGGAUGUAUGUUGCAUGUACAUAAUUUGAAUUGAUGUUAUGUGACAUUAAUUUAAACCUACUUGUAUUAAAAAAAUUGUACAUUCACAGCGUAUGAAAAGCUUACUCUUAUAACUACAUCACUUCACAAUGCUAAAGAAGGAGAAUAAGACUUUCUUUUUCCUCUGCCCUGAAAUACAAAAUUGUCAGAAUCCAAACGAAGAAAUACCACCGACUAUGCAAGAGUGAAUUUAAGUAUUUAACUCAAGCCUCUUUCUCCCUAAUGUAUAAGGCUUUACUAAUGCAAUACUUAUCAGAACUUCGUAUUAUUAUACUGAUGACUAUGUAAAGUUUCCAACCGUCCAUGGCCCUCUAUUGGACAUGGGGUUCCACCUCCCACAAGACAUUGAUCUGAACAUUGAUCAAAUAGGGGAUAGGGAAGAGAAUAUUGAGUUGUUCACUUGUUUGGUGAUAGAAAUGGGGCCAAUCUUGAUUUUAUAUAUCUCAAAGAUGUGGAAUUUGGGGAAAUAUGACAUAUAGUGAUAGUGAUGAAUUUUUUUUUUUUAUUUAUUAGUCACCAAAGGCUAAAUAAAAUAAAGUGGGGAUAGAAAUGUCUAAUGCCUCUUGGCACCAUGACUUGUCUAGAAAGCAAAUGUCCCAAUAAGGGAGUGGUCCAAUGUUUUACACCAUCAAAGGGAAUAAUAGAGAAUCACACACCUAUAAGAUGGAGAAUGUAUAAUUAGGAAUCAGACAAUCCAUAGGGACUGCUUAUGUCUUCAUUUUUUUUUCUAUUUUAGGUGGCAAUGCUUGUGUACAUGAUUAAUAACAGAUGUGAUACUCGGCAGAACUAAAAAUAAGCUGAAUUUGUUUGUUCACAUAGUUGGCCACAAAAAUCCUCUCAACCCAAUAUCUUAUUUUUUUUUUUUUUUUUUUACUUUUUCGUGCACUGAUAUUUAGGAGUUAGUUAACUUAAAAAUUUGUAUUAAACCUAUACUCCUCGAUUACAAAUCAUGCUCACUGAAGAUAAAAAUCAAUAAUCUGAAUAAUGUCAAGAAUUAUUGGCUUUUCAAAUCUAGCUGGCGCCUUAGUGUCAUCUCUGGAACCUCAAUGGCCCCGUUGGACCAAUCUCCUUCCCCCAUAAUAUAGAAGUAGUGUUGCUAUUGACAAACAAAAAAAAAAAAAAGAAGGAAUGAUGCUCUUCGAUGCUAAUCAAACAUGUGAAGGACCCUUAAUUUUACAGGGAUAAAUUGUCUUCUCCCUGAGAAAGGAAAAAGAGACUGCUAUCAAGCGUUUUCCACUAGAUAUAACUAGAGGAAAAAGUCGCGUAGUAGUUUAGUGCCUAUGAUUAGACAUGGUUAAUAAUUACUAUUUGUUGUUUUAUAGUAUACGAAUUAAAGUAUGAUAAUUUUAUUAUGUGAUAUUAAACAGAAAAAUCAUAAGUUAUAUACUUAGUCAAAAAAUAUAAUGUGCAAUGAAACAUAAUUAUAAGAUACGAUCAACCAUUUUGUAUUCAACCUAAUAAAAUAAAAGACCUACUUAUAUUUUCUUCUGCACUUUAAAAAUAAUAAAUUUUGUUGUUUAGUUUGAAUUUGAUCUUGAUACGAGGGCAAUUCACCGCAUUAUCUUGUCAUAUAAGUGAGAUUUGAACAAUUAGCAUAUUUGAAGAAAUCAUUGCUAGUGGAAUUUCAGUUCUUACAAGCCAAGUUCUUGAAUUUAUAUUGAUUCUAAGAACAUAUAGUCACGAGACCUCCAAAUUAGCUAAUCAAUCAAUUAUGAUUUAGGAGAUAUUGCAAAGCAUCUCCUUCUCAAUAGGGAAUUACAAUCACAAAACAUCAGUUUUUGAACUAGUUGCAAAAAUAUACAAGAACUAACUCACUAAUUUAGAGAAAUAAUUACCUCGAAAAAAGGUACUAAGGAUGCAUUUGAUAAAACUAAAAUUUGAAAACUGAAGUCUGAAAUCUAAAAUCUAAAGUCUGAUCCAUUAAGUUAUUGAAUUGUUAAAUAUUAAAUCUAAUAUAUUUGAGUGCAUAUCACAUUCAGUGAUUAGUGAAUAGCAUAUCACUUAAUUUUGGGAGCAAGUUUUGCCUAAAAAAUUUAGUACAACUUAAUUAAUUUAGAUAUUCAAAUUUUGGUUAUCAAAUGGUCCGAAUAUAUUAAAAUCUGAUUCCAUUAAGUAUAAGUGCUGAAUUUGGUUAUCAAACAGGACCUAAGGCAUCUUAAUCUAUUCAAUUCAAGAAAACAAUUAAAAGUAAUAAAGUGUAUACUUUAAAUUUACAGCAAAAUAGUUUUAAGUAGAUAGUUAAACCUAUUGACAAACCAAAUGAACUGAAAAAUUUGCCCAAAUGGAAUCGCCAAUAAAAUAGCAAACAAUUUGAAAACUAUCGUAACUAAUAGUUAAAACAACAAAAGAAGUAGGAGCAAACUGUAAAUGGGAAAAUGUAUGAUGUUAAACUUACCUUAAGCCACCAAUAGCAAUUAAUAAAUGUGACUUCCUUCCUAACAAGCCUGUUUAACAUGGAUAAUUGAAUUAAAAUACUAGAAAAUUAUCGCACAUACAACUUGCAAGAUUACAGAUUUCUUACAACUAAAAGGUAGAUUGGCUAAAGAAAACAUACCUAUUGAGAUUUCUUACAACCAAAAAGUAGAUUGGUCAAAUAAAACAUGUAUAUUGAUAAAGCUGUUGCAAAAUGGGGAAAAGGAGUAGCUAAUGUAGUAAGAUCUGAAUUUAAUAGGUUGUAUAAUUGUGGUAGAACAAAGUUGUAAGUAAAUGAAAUGAAUUUGAAUAAAUGGAAGUUACUGUUGUAAUGGCCAAGAAACCAAACUUCUUCACUAAUUGGCAUUAAUUGUAUCUUAACAUCUAUAUAUCAUAAGUUUGCAAAUAACCACUGAGAAAGGUUUCAAGAAAGUCAGAGACUUGGAUGCUAAUAUAAUUAAAUGAUUAGAAGGGCUUUUAUGUAAUUUCACUAAAAUACAAACUGAAUUUUGUUGUACCCAAUGCUCAACCGGACAUUGAACACUGUCACAUAACAAACUUGUCCCUACAUUCAAAUGUCUUAAAGGACAUCUAAAUAAUUACGGUAAAACCAAAUUAACUAUAAUAACUUGUACUCAAUGCUUCAAUUGCACUGCAAACACUCUAGCAUUUCCAAAAUACUCCCACCCUUGCAAUUGAAAUUUUUUGAAGGACUUGCAAUUGAAAUUUAAAAAUCAUCUUUGUUUUAAACUCAUUUUUAUGUAGUAUAAGGAUAAGGAAAUGCCUAAUUUGUAGCUACAUGUAUAACCUCUUAGUCUGAUCCAUAGAUGUUACGGCUCUCAUCUUAAAUUAAUCAACACUGACAUUGUAUAAGAAAUACUUUUGAGUCAUACAAGAAGUAUUGACUGACACACGAAAAGACCCAAUAUAAUCGUAAUAAUCCUAUGCUAUUCUUAUUGAUUGUAUGCUAUCAAGUAGUUGAGUCAUUUCAACGGUUUGUUGAUCGAUCUUUUACAUUUGUAAUCAUGUUUUUGCUUAUAUCCUUUGACAAAGAAGUAACAUAAACUCUCCAGAAGUAAUCUUUUAUUAUAUUGUUAAAUUCUGUAAGCACAUUUAGGCCGAAAAAGAAAAUCAGGAAGUAAAUACCAUUUUAGAAAUUUAUUCCCCCACUGAUCAUCUAUCAUCUAUGAAUUAGAAAACCAAGUUUUGUACCUUACUGCAUCAAUAAACUUUGGGUACGUGGCAUGAACUGUAAAGUCGUACAUAGAUGCCAUACUUGAGGCAAUAGAAUAGACCACUUGGCAGGGGAAAAAAAUGAAGAUGAGAAAAAACUUAAGCAGUAAUUUGUCAUUAAGCACAUCUAAAGCAACUAUAAAAGUAGACCACCAUAACUUCUCUUUCAAAAAUCCUUUCAAAACCUGUUUCAGGGAAAAAAAAAAAGGUUGGGUCCAUUUGAGAGGUCGACAUUCACAUAUAUAUUACUGGUUCAUAUCUUGACUUGAAAGGGUUCAUUAUGUGUAAUUUGCUAGACCAUGAAUAGAUAAUCACAAACCAGUUUUCUAAUUGGAACACGAAGAUUGAAUCUGUAGAAGUGAAGGCUAAAGAUUCUUCUAAGUGGGAGCAAGCAAAGGUAAAGAGAAGAGAACAAAAGCAAAGUUUAACCCAUCUGUGAUAAAUCAUCCAAUUUUCUUAUUCUUUUUUCGUUUUCCAAGAACUGUAACAAGAUUCCUGUCCAAAAUGGAACCACCCCUACAUCAUCUUGCUCAAGUCAUCAAUUUGGACUACUAUAUCAUCAUCAUAGGAUGACAUAAAAGUGUGACUUCACAUCCAUUUGAUGGAAAGCAUUUUUGCACAAGAUUGAGGGUUUUGUGAGGACCAAAGAUCUUUUUUUUUUUUUUCUCUUUUUGACAACCAAAUUGGAACCAAUUUAUUAAAUGGUUUUGAAUUAUAGAAUCAAUUUAUUGCUGAAAAUUAUAGAAUCAGGGGCUUCCUCCAGCCAAACAAGUAAAGUUUUGAGACAGAAAAGCCAAUCUAAAGUCUAAACUAAGAGGCUUAUUAGGUCAGGUCCAAGAAACUUAAAGGUUGAAACCAUAUAUUGAUCAGUGAAGAAAACAGAAAGACUGGGAUCAAAAGAGAUGCCCUUCUCAUUGACUUCAAAGGUGUAUUUAUAUACAGAGAUAAGGAUCCUACCUAUAUAAUUUCUAUAUCUGUACAAAUAAAGAUUUCCUAUACAAUAGUAAACUACCAAAAAUCACAUCCACUAAUUUAUUAGCUAAAGAUCCUAAAAUAUCAUUCUGUAAAUUGCUGCACUAAGUUCUGCAAUUUCCUCAAUUUGCAAUUUCCUCAAUACCCCCCCCCCCUCAAGUUGGAGCAUGAAGAUUUGAGAUGCCCAACUUGCUAAGAAGAAAUUGAAACUGAUCAGUACCCAAAGUUUUAGUGAAAAUAUCAGCAAGUUGUAGAGCCGUACGUACAUGAGCUGUUUCAAUGUUCCCAUUUUUUAUCUCUUCUCGAAUGAAAUAACAAUCAACUUCGAUGUAUUUCGUACGCUCAUGAUAUACAGGAUUCGCUGCGAUAUGUAAAGCUGAUUGACUAUCACAGUACAAGCGCAUGGAACUAGAAUGAUCAACACCAAGAAAUAGCAACAAACCUUUUAACCACUUAAGUUCACAAGCUGCUGUAGUCAUGGACCGAUAUUCUGCCUCAGCAGAGGAGCGUGAAACAGUCUAUUGUUUCUUGGUUUUCCAUGAGACAGGUGAUCUGCCCAAGCAAAUAAAAUAACCUGUCAAGGAGCGUCUUGUCAAGGGACAACUUGUCCAAUCGGAGUCACAGUAUGCAUACAAUUUAAGAUCAGAGUUGGCCCGCAAAAGGAUUCCCUGUCCAGGAUUACCCUUCAAAUAUCGGACUACUCGUAAUGUAGCUUCCCAAUGGGCCUUCUUUGGUUGCUGCAUAAAUUGAGCAAGAAUAUGGACACAGUAGCUCAACUCAGGUCGUGUAAUAGUUAAGUAAAUCAGUCUGCCUACCAGCCGACAAUAUUGAGCAGGGUCACUAGCGUCAUCCCCUUCAACAAGUGCAAGUUUAUGAUUCUGCUCCAGUGGAGUUUUCGCUGGCUUAGCUCCCGGCAAACCAACCGCAGAAAUGACAUCCAAGGCGUAUUUUCGCUGACAAAGAAAAAUCCCUUCAGCAUUUCUUGCUACCUCUAUACCCAAAAAAUAUUUCAAUUGUCCCAAAUCCUUCAUAUGAAAACAGCUGCUCAAAUAUUGCUUAACUCGCUGCACAGCCGUGGCAUCAUUACCUGAAAUAAUGAGAUCAUCUACAUAGAUCAGAACAUGUAUUUGCACAUGCUGUUCACGAAAAUCAAACAAUGAAUAGUCUGAGCAAGAUUGAUGAAAGCCAUACUUCUUUAAAGAAUCUGCCAGCUUAGCAAACCAACGAUGGGGUGUCUGAUGCAAGCCAUAUAAAGACCUUCGUAGUCUACACACUUUCCCAGGAUUUUUAGAGACAAAACCUAGUGGCAUUUUCAUGAAAACUUCCUCAUUCAAGUCUCCGUGCAAGAAAGCAUUCUGCACAUCCAUCUAAUGUAGUUCCCAGUUCUUUGCAGCAGCUACUGCAAGAAAAGUACGUAUAGUGGCCAUCUUUGCAGUGGGAGCAAAAGUUUCAUGAUAGUCAAUACCCUCUUUUUGAUUAUUGCCAAGAAUUACCAAUCGAGCCUUGCAUCGUUCAAUACUUCCAUCAGAAUUAUAUUUUAUUUUGUACACCCACUUACUGCCAAUAGCCUUCUUCCCGACGGGUAAGUCCUGCACCAUCCAAGUUCCAUUCUCUUCCAAAGCUUGAAUUUCUUUUCUCAUAGCUUCACGCCAUCGUUCAUCUCCCAUUGUCUCAUUAUAAGAAACUGGUUCUAAACCUGCAGUAAUGCUUGCCAAGAAGGACCAAUGUUGUGAAGAAAACCGAUCAUAGCUAACAAAAUUGGCUAUGGGAUAAGACAUACCUGAGGAAUGCUGUUGAAGCGGUGAACUCUGCGAGGGGCUGAAUUGCACAUUAUUUGUCACAUAGUCCUUCAGACGAGUGGAUGACUGUUUAAUCCUAUGUCCACGACCAAGCUGAUCUCCUACUAGUACCUCCUCUCUUGAAUUUUCUUCCCUAUUUUCAGCUACACUAAUUUCUGCAAUUUCCUCAGUAGGAGGACAACCUUCAGGAGAUUUCUCUAAUAUCUCCCCAUCUUCCUCAAUAAUUUCCCAAUCCUUAUGCUCAUGAGCUCCAUCUGCAUUUGUAGUGGAAUUUUCACCUGCAAACAUUGUUGCAGCGUAUGGAAAAUUUGUUUCGACAAACGCCACAUCCCUCGAGACAAGAUACUCAGAAGUCUCUAAAUCAUACACUUUUCAUCCUUUCUUGUCAAAAGGGUAUCCCACAGAAACACACCUACGGCUUCGACUGGCAAAUUUAUCCUUAUCUCUAAGUUGUCUAUGCACAUAACACAUACACCCAAAAGUCCUAAUAUGAUUAUACGAAGGAAGUUGUCCAAAGAGAAUUUCAUAAGGAGUUUUUCCCUUCAGAAUCGCGGAUGGUGUCCUAUUGAUUAAGUAUCCAGCGGUAAGAAUGCAUUCCCCCCAAAAAUCAAUUGACAAGUGUGCCUGAAACAUCAAAGCUCUCGCCACAUUAAAAAUAUGAUGAUACUUUCUCUCAACUUGUCCAUUCUGUUGGGGAGUUCCUACACAAGAAGUUUGGUGCAAUAUACCAUUUUCAUCAAAAUAUUUUCGUAGACACACAAAUUCAGUGCCAUUAUCACUCCUAAUAGUCUUCACAUCCUUCUCAAAUUCUCGUUUAACCAUAGCAAUAAAAUUCUUAAGAACACAAGCAACUUCAUGUUUUCCUUUCAGCAAAUAAAUCCACACAGCACGAGAACAAUCAUCAACAAUAGUCAAGAAAUAAGCAGCUCCACAAGAAGCCAAAGUUUUAUAAGGUCCUCAUAAGUCACAAUGCAUUAAAUCAAAACAAUUCUUAGCUUUAUUGUCACUAGAAUAAAACAUCUCUCUAGUCUGUUUUGCUCUAAAACAAACAUCACAACUUAAAUUAUCACUAUUUUUACAAAAUUUAUUUGCUGCAGAAAUCAACUCUAGCGCCUUAUUCGACGGAUGACCCAUUCUCCUAUGCCAAAGAUUGAAGUCUGAAACUCCAGAAGUUUUACAAGCAUUUGCCGAAGCCACCGCCUUCAAAAAAUACAGCCCCUUGUGUUGUUCACCCGCUCCAAUCAGCCUCCUCGUAUUUCGGUCCUGUAUAGCACAAAUUUUGUUAGUGAUUUGCAGUACCAGAUUUGAGUCAUUGAGAAGUUGUGAAACAGAGAUCAAGUUAUAUUUUAAAUUAGGCACAAAAAGAACAUGUUGCAAUUUCAAUCCUCCUCCAAGAUGCACUGUUCCUUCUUUCAGUGCCACAGUUGCUUCACCAUUUGGCAUUUCGACUGAACAUGAAACAAUGUCAGACACAUCUCUCAGGCAGGCCCUUGUCCCAGUCAUAUGAUGGGAAGCCCCUGAAUCUAUUACCCAAGACAAAAUUUCUUGCUUACCAAUCAAUCUUUCAUUGGAUACAGUCUUUUGCGAACUCAAAAGUCCCAGCAAAGUGCUCCAUUGUUCAUUAUUCAACCCACUAAGCUCCUUUCUUUCAGUUUCUGUGACUCCUUCGUGAUCAUCUUCUGUUGCAAAUGUUUGAGUGACAUUUGCUCGUGGUACACCACCCCUGUCACAGCCUCCACCACCAUUGCGCUUACGCUCACUUCCUCGUCCUGGAGUACUGGAGCGAGGUCUAUUUCCCCACCAAUCUGGAUACCCUAUUAGCUGAAAGCAGGUACCUGAAUCGUGUCCCUCACGAUUGCAAUGUGAGCAUACUGCAGUUUUGUCCCCCCCUGAAUUUCGUCCACCAACCUGAACUGCAAAGCUCAUGGGGUUGCCUUUCUCUUUCCUUGUUCGUGACAUUGUUCUUACUCGUUCUUGCUGAACGACCAUUGCAUAUACCCUAUUUAGAUUGGGUAAUGGCUCUGUGCUCAAAAUAUUAGCACGCCCAGUACCAUAGCGUUCUUCAUCCAAGCCCAUCAAAAAUUGAUGAACUCUUUCUUCCUCCCUUUUCUUUUCCAAUUCAGUUGUGAGAUUGCACUUGCAACCACCACAACUGCACAAUGAUAUUUUGUCGUAAUUAUUCAGUUCAUCCCAUAUGGUUUUAAGCUGUCCAUAGUAAUUGACUAUGGUUUGUCUCUCCAGCUUGCGGUUCGUCAAGUCCGAUCUCAAUUGCUGGACUCUUGGUCCAUUCCCAAUUGAGAAGCGCAGCCUUAUGUCCUCCCAUAAAUCUCCAAUAUUGUCCACAAGAGAAAUAGUUGAACGUAAAGAGGGUUCAAUGGGGUUAAAUACCCAUGAAACCAGCAUGGAAUUAACUGUCCACCAAUCUUCAAUUUCCGGCGAAUCAUCUACCGGUUGUUCCACAGCUCCAUCAAUGAAACCAUACUUCUUUUUGGCCCUUAAUGCAGUCCGCACUGCCCGUGCCCACUCUUCAUAAUUUUCUCCCUUCAACUGCACCUGGGUAAUUAUGUUGCUUGGAUUGUCGUUGGGGCCUAGAGCAUAAGGACUGGAAGUUUUCUUAUCUGAACCAGAAUUUCCUUCGUCUUUGGGCGGCAUGGCUCUGAUACCAUGAAGAAAAUAGAAAGACUGGGAUCAAAAGAGAUGCCCUUCUCAUUGACUUCAAAGGUGUAUUUAUAUACAGAGAUAAGGAUCCUAUCUAUAUAAUUUCUAUAUCUGUACAAAUAAAGAUUUCCUAUACAAUAGUAAACUACCAAAAAUCACAUCCACUAAUUUUUUAGCUAAAGAUCCUAAAAUAUCAUUCCUUAAAUUGCUGCACUAAUUUCUGCAAGUUCCUAAAAUAUCAUUCCGUAAAUUGCUGCACUAAGUUCUGCAAUUUCCUCAAUAAUCAGAAACAAUUUUUAGAGUUUUUCCCUUGUCGAUGGGGGUUGCUUGAGGGAGGAAGAAUUCCCAGAAACUUUAUGCUAGUGUACAACUCUUCCUGUAAAGUUCCGGAAUCUAUUUUCCUUCCUUUACUGCAAUAAAAAUUACAAAAAUAAUCAGCUUUCACAAGGAGGGUUAGCCUGGGAUAAACUUACAAGAGUACUCCACAAUGGCUAUUCCUUCAAAAAUACUUUGUAAAAUUAAAGUUAGGUGAAAUUAAAUUCGUGAAUCAUGCUAGCCUAGCUAUAUUGGGUGUUAACUGAUGUUAGUAAAUGUGGAGAAGAACUGUGGAAUUACCUAGUUGAAUAUUAAGUACAUAUUCAAAGAAAACUAGUUUAUUAUUUAGAGGUUCCACUUCAGAAAAGUGAAGUAAAUAUUCUUGCUGAUGAUGAUUUAAGGCUCAGACACUUGAUUUAAGGCUAAGACACCAUUAAUAUGUAAAAGAAACAAAACUCAAGAAGUGUUUUAUUACCCCUUUUUGUUUUGUUGAUGGUAAUUAACGUCUAAUUAUGUACUCCAAUUCUCAUAGCAUAAGCUGGUAAUUUUUUGGUUUGCAAGAAGAUACUAUGGUGCACUUAUCUCUCCGCUAUAAUCUGUCUCGCCAGGUGUGGUUUGUGCUGGAGAAAUUGUUUCCUAUUGGUCCAAUGCAUAGAUCAUCAAAUUGCAAAUGUGCUGAAAGUCUUGAUGGUCUCAAUCUGAUUCAUCAGUUAGUGACAGGAACAUUUAAGCAAAUCAUCCCUUCUCUAAUUUGUUGGGAGCUGUGGAAAUGAAAGCCCAAAUUAUAUGUUUCUGAGGAAAAAAAAGGCCUGUUAUCACUGCAGCUAUUUUUCACUAUUCCUGGGGUGAUCUAUUUGCUUUCCUUUCCUUGGAUCAAAUCCUUAACUAAUACAAAGAUUAAAUCUGUGUUGGAAGUAAGGUAACACAAUCACAACCGGGUUCAACAGCAUGCAAUUUUCAACGGCUCCAAAAAGUUCUAAGACUAAUUUUACAUAAUUUAUCAUGUAAAUUAUCAUAAUUUAUAAGACUAAUUUUACCUUGCACCUCCGAACUUGUAUCACUUUGCACACUAAACUUAAAUUUUUAACACUUUGCACCCUAAACUCUUAAGUUUGUUUGAUUUAAGUCCAAUCAAUGACUACAUUCACAAAAUUAAUAAGAUAAAAAUCAGUGAAAAUUAAUGAUGAUGUACUAUUUUCUUCUAACUGUGACCCCCUUGACUUUUUUGACUACUUUUAGUACAUUAUCAUUGAUUUUUAAGGUCUCAAUUACUAAUUGUUAGCAAAAUUAACAAGAUAAAAGAUUGUAUAAAUUAACGAUAAUGUAUUAUUUUAUUCUUGUUAUGAUAACUUGGCAUCUUUUGAUUAUAUUCGGAACAUUAUCACUGUUUUAUUGGGUCCUUUGUGUUGUUAAUUUUACUAAAGUUAUCGUUGACUGGACUUAAAUAGGACAAAAUUGAGAAUUUAGUGUACAAAGUGUCCAAAAUUAAAAAUCAGGUGCAAAGUAGAAAUGUGAUACAAGUUCGAGGCGCAAAAUGAAGUUUGUCCAAAUUUAUAACUUGUGACUCAUGAAUCGUUAUAUAAUUUCUUAUAAAGCCCUUACAUUUAGAAAACUAUACAGAUUUAUGAUAGUUUGAAUUUGUCGCAAUAUUGCCUAUUAAGAGGUGAAUUUACCUAUUAAUCUUACUAUUGAUCAAUAUUUCUAAUAAAUCAGAAGGGGAAAUUAAUUGAAUGCUCGAAGUAAAGCUACAUUGAUUAUAGUCAAUAGGUAAUUCAAGGAUUUUAUCAGGCCACUUGGAGGUGUUUGAAUACUGAAACCUUUGAAAUGUUGAAUAUUAAGUACUCAAAAGAAUCCCUUUGACAAAAUACUGUUUGGAUUGUAAGUUAUUUAAGAUUUUUUACUGUAGCACUUUUUGUGAUGUGAUGUAUGUGAGAUAAAAAGGUAAUUAGAAAGAUAAAAAAGUGUAUUGAAAAUUAUAAUGAUGAUGUAAGCAAAUAUAUUUGAAAAAAUAAUCAGCUGUUCAGGCAAAUAUGAUCUUCAUCCGUUGUUGACUACAUAAGUCUCAAAUAAUACAUGUUUCCUCGUACGGAUAUGCUGUGAACUUGUACAUAACAAAAGGUUUUCUACACAAGCAAAAUUGCUUAUUGAAUCAAACAUUAGUCUUUUCUUCCCCUUUUAUCAAAUCAGAUUUUGUGCUUAUAUUGUGUCCAGCAGAAUUUUACACUGAUUAAUCAUAGAUCAUUUCUAUGAAUUCAUGUCAAUGUUGUUACUGUGUCUGUGUUGUAGCAAAGCUCUGGUGAAAGUUUUUAAUCUUGUGGUUAAUAUUACUUUGCACCGUUAAAAAGUAGUGAAGCAUGGGAGGUGGGACAAUGUGCAGUUGCAUUUCCGUUUGUGAAAACCAAGACCUAAACUCUAGCUUAAUUAGAAUUAGAAGUUCAACAAAGGCUGAUUCCUUAACUCUAAUUGCAUAAUCAAAAGAUGAUUUUGAUACAUUAAUUGGACCAUUAUGUAUAUUAGGACUAUUCUCUGUCAUAACCUAGCAUUAACUUGCUACUGAGGUUCUCAACCUGUAUAAAGACUGGCACGAAAAUAAGCUCAAACACUAGAUUAAUAGCAAAGAAAAUAACUUAGGCUCUGUUUGGAUUAGCUGUUACUGUAGCAGGUUUUUAGAGUAUAUUUUGAGAUAUUUUUAGAUAAUAUUUUAAAAUAUUUAAGAGUAGUAGAGUUUUUAAGAUAUAUUUUAGGAUAUUUUUUAAAUAUUAAAAAAAAUUUAGAGUACCUUUUAGAGUACUUUUUAAAAAUUUAAACAAGUUUUUUAAAUAUAAUAAAAUUUUUUAAAAAGUACUCUAAAAGGUAAUCUAAAAAUUAGGGCUUGUUUGGAAGUCCAAGUUUUUACCAAGUUUUUAUUAUACUAAUUUUUUAACAACUUGUGUUACAGGAACCCCAAAAACUUAUCAAAGUUUUUUAACAUACACACUUAAAAUAUCCAAAACACAAAAAAAAAAAAACUCCUUUCCCCUUUUCUUCUUCUUCCUCCCCCACCACUACCUCCGUCAACUGCUCCGUCACCGGCCACCACCUCCGCCGCCGGUUCCGGCGCCGAUCACCUUUUCCGGUGCCGAUUUUUUUUUUCCUUUUUCCCUCUCCCCUUUUUUUUUCCUUUUUCCCUCUUCCCCCGCAAGUUUUUUUUUUUCUCUCUGCGUCUCCCCCCCUCCUCCCCCACCACCCUUCCCCUUCCCCUCUGGCCGAUCUGGUCGCGAGACCAGAUUGCACCGAGGGAGGGUGAGGGUGGCGGGGAAAGGGGAGGACAGAGGGAAAGGGGGGAUUUGCCCAAAAAAAAAAAUUGACGGGUGGCGGGAUUCGGGGGUGGUAAACGGGAAGGGGAAUAGGGGAGGGGGAAGGGGGUGACGGGGGGAGGGGGAAGGUGGCGAGGGGGUGGCGAGGCAGUGAGGGGGCGGGGGAGGGGAAGGUGGGCCUGUUUGGAAGUGCGGGGGGAGGGGGAGGGGUGGCGGAGAAGGGCAGAGGGGAGGGCAGAGGGAAGCGGGGUGAGGGGGUGGCGGGGGGAGGGGGAAGGGGCAGAGGGGGAUAAGCAAAGCAGGGGGAAGGCAGGGGGAGGGGGGUGGCGGGCGAAGAGGGAUGGCGAAAAGCAGGGGGGAGGGGAAGGCGGGGGGAGGGGUGGCGGGACAGAGGGGAGAAGCAAAGCAGGGGGUGGCAGGAGGUGGCACUGCUGGAGGCAGAGGUAACGGGGAAGGGGGAAGAAGAAGAAGAAGAAGAAAAAAAAAAAAAAAAGAGAAAGGAAAGAAAGAAAAAGAAAGAGAAAGAGAAAGAGAAAAAAAAAGAAAAAAAAAAAGUUUUUAACCCUACAAAAACUUCUACAAAAUUUUUUAAAAAACUUCUACAGUGCACUACAGUAAAGUUUUAGACAAACUCGCAAAAAACUAGGUUCCAAACAGGCUCUUAGUUUAAAAUUUAAAAAAAAAUAUCUCAAAAUAUAUUUUAGAGACUCUUCUACUCUUAAAUAUUCCAAAAUAUUUUUUAAAAAUAUUCCAAAAUAUACUCUAAAAAUUCUGCUACAGUAAAAUUUUUUAAAAACACCCCCAAAACAGCUAAUCCAAACGGCGAGUAUAGUAUUUGAAAAACUAGUUUUUAAAAAACUGAAAGGUCCAAACAGAGCAUUAUGUAUUUACUAAUUCAACCAAGUACUUGAAAUAUUCAGAUGGUUUAAGUGGACUCGAUUCCGACCAAUACCAUUUGGGUCGGGCAUUGCCCUUGAAGCCAUAGGUCCCUUGCAAUGUUUAGAAUGUAUGACAUAAUAUCUACUUGAUAUACAGCAAAUGAAGUAAUCUGGCAGACUAUGAGAAGCCUUUAAGCACAAGUAGUACAAUGACAAAUUUGACUUGUUGCUAGACGGGUACACAAGAUAACUUCGAAGCUAAAUAUCCAUCAAGUAAAAUAAGCCUUGAGAGAUUUUCCACAGCAUUGAUACUCAAAACUGUUGGCUCCACUAAAGAGAGCAUAUGAUGUUCGUUGCGAAUGAUCCAUCUAUGACAACUUUGAUUUCAAACGAAAAUGAUAUUAGGAGCAGAGAAAAGUGAUAAUAACAGAUUCACAAGUGUUAUAUUUUACGGUUAAAGACUUCUUUGAAAUAAAUAGGCUCAAGUAGAUGCACAAUCAGUGGAUGAAUGAAGAUUCCACCAUAAUCUUGUAAGAGUUACUACUUCAAAACCAAGUAACUAGGUAGUGCUGAGCUUUAGGACACAACUAGAAGGGGAACUACCAAUUAGUUGGAGACUACAAGUCCAGAACACUUAAAGAUGGUACAUUACCACUUUCACCAAUGAUGAUUUAGCAGUCCUUAAUCCAUGUAUAAAGUACCAAUUGCUGAUUUCAUUUUCAUGUAACAAUAUACUUUCCCCUUGAAAUGAGAGAGGACCAUAGGAACGCAAGUCUAGUCUGCAAACUUAAUUUACUGAGUCCACAAUAUUUGUUGAGCAUUCAAACUAGUCGGUCUACUCCACAAAGGCACAACAGAAAAAUCUACUCAAAAGUUCCAAGCAUCUGAUCAACAAAUCUUACAGAUUCCCAAUAUUACCUAACCCCAAGUCUGAUUAACAUGGUAAAUCAUCUUACUACCUCAUUUAUUACCCUUUUAAACCAAACGACCUGUAUCAAACAGCAGAAUUCAAUUGCUCGUUCCUCCAGAAAAGGAUCUACAUUGUCCCUCCAACCCGUCUAUGAGAGUGUAGCUUAGUCUAUCAUUCCCUGAGACACUCACAAGAGAAUGAAACAUUAGCAAAAGUAGGACCUGCUUACUGUUCUGCCUCUUCUUGGCCCCGAGGAGCCACGAUGAGAAUGCAUUAAAAAGAAAAUGACAAGGAGAUUAAUAAUUCUCUCAGUGACCCAACUUUUCAGCUUAAAUGAAAUUCGAAUCUGUAGUGAAAGAAAGCAAGGUAAAAUUAGGGAAGAUAAAUUGUUUCUAAUGUAAGUCACUUCCCACUCUAUCUAUUUCAAUUAUCACCCGAGAUUCAAAAUUACUCUGUCCUUAGAACUUCCAUUACAGAAGAGGCACUAAACCGUUUGCACAUCUUUUCAGUUUAAUAGCUUUGAAAAAAACAAGGUGCCCCUCUCCCAAAUAAUCCUUUCAAUCUUUCCUCUUUUGAAUAAAGUCCCAAGCACAGUUUUCUUAAUCAGCAACAACUCAAUUUCUCCCCAUAUAACGUGAAGACAUACACCAAGAAGGAUAAAAGCUGCAUAGCUUCACCACAACUUGGGUAUCCUUUACUAAGAACGCUGAAGCUCUUAAAAAACAAAACAAGAAGACAGGGAAUCUGCAUAUCCAUGCCAAACAUUAUUCAAAACUUGAUAAGAUAAGUUCAAUUAAGAACAUUACAACUACCAAUUACCUAAUCAUGUCAAUGAAGUUCCACCAUGACAGAUAGACGAAAGAAAAGUGAAAAACUUACCCAAAUCCAACAACCAAUCAUGACCUUCUGCAUACUUCAGAUUAUGUUAUUGAACAAGAAAUAGCAACCUUCCAUUGCAUGAUAAAAACUGAAAUGUUGUACUUGCAACCAAUCUACUGCUAACCAGCAUUAAAGGUAUAUCUUUUACACCUUAAUAUACUGUAAACUAUAUGCCCCUUGAUAAGCACCCAUUACUACAAGAAAAUCAACAAAUAACAAUCCAAGCACAAUGGUAACUGGUAACAACAACCAAACAUAUUCACGAAAUGGCGGACAGAAAUGAUGAAACCAUUUUCAAUUUCAAAUUUCAAUUCAUACAAAGCUACAAGUCUUGUAGCAUUACAAAUAAAAAUUAGGAAAAAUGACACCAAAGAAAGGAAGGAAACACCAAAAUCAAUUUCAGGAAAAUGUAUGAGGACAAUAAUAACAACAUACAAGGCGUCCAAUCCUCAUUAAUUUAAUUUCAAUAAACAAAAAAGAUACUGGUACAACAAUAGAAACUUUCAGUUUCCAGCAUGAUUAUCAUGCAAUUACUUCAGACCUUGACCAAUACAAAUUGCAAUUCAAACACCAAUAAAAAUUAUCAUUUGCCAAUUCCCGACUCCUCCACGUUCCCUAAGGCACUGCUGAGAGCUGAGCCUCAAGCAAGAAACCCCGGCAAAGCCCAUCUCCAUUUCCAGGGACACCAUCAAUCCACCGCCACUCAGUCUUUUCACAGCCAUUCUCCUCAAAACACUCCCAAACCACCAAUUUUCCAACCCUUUUAGCAGAAAAACAGACCCGAUUUCCCCCUCCAAACACCUUAAACUUACUCGAAUCCUGAAAAAGCCUAUACAUUUCUGAUGGCAUUCGCCCAGCCUCGUCCCACUCUAGACUCUCCAAAUCCAACCUCAGGAUCAAAAUUGUCGAACACGCGCUAUGCAGCGAGUAAGAACUCUUCAAUCCACCAAUCAUGAGAACCUUAUUCUUCCCUCCCACUAACAAUCUAGGCCGCUUUAUUAUAUCAAACACAUCGCCCCACUCGUGCUUCUCGAGCCGAGUCCAUUUCUGGACCAACUGAUCCCCUCUGUUAAUCACCAUAGACUUAAACAACUUCCACUGAGAUCGCCAUGGCGAUCCCACAUCACAAAGGGCAAGUAUAAAAUUCUCAAUCAAAACAGGGCUUCGCGGCUUGGAAGGUAGAUUAGACGAAUACUUGAGCCAAGAAUUGGCAGUCGAGUAUAAAGUAGCUAGCUCGGUAAGAACCAGAACUUGGCUGGGGCCAGCUCCGAUUAGAACGGAGCCGUGGCGCGACCAAGCCGAGCCCAGCUGAGGUAAGGCCUUGAAUUGCCUCGUCAAAGGGUUGCAAACAAUCAGCAUUUUAUUACUGAUCGGGCCGGGAUUGGGGGAAGAACUAGAGGACGAAGCCCAGAGAUAGAGCAGGCCACGAGAGGAGGUGAUGGGGAGGAGGGAGGGAAAGGGAAGGAAGUUGAGGGGAAAUCUGAACCAUCUGUCAGACAAAGGGUCGAACACGUGGAGAGCAGGAUGGGAAGACAGGUGGGAAUGCGAGUGGGAUCGGUGGGAAGGGCGGAGGGCAAUUAGGGAAAGCACAUGGGAUUGGGAACUGGAAAUCAAGUGCAAGAAUGAUGGAGAAGAAAGAGCGGUAUACAGGGACUUACAAACUGCUCUGCAGAUGAUCAUCUGGCGGAGUGGCAGGGAAGAAAAGAUCUGGUGGAGGGUGUCUUGAGGCAACCGAUUGAGUGGGGAAGAUUCCAUCCUCUUUUGGGUUUCUUCUCUGGGUUUUCUUGGGGGUUUUUUGGGGGGGCGAGGAGAUGAUGGGAUUUUGGAGUCUGGUGGAGGUGGUGGUGGAGGGCGGCUGUGGUGGUGGUGGUGGGACGGGAAUUGGGUAGUUGGCUGGUUUGAUGGGGGAAUUUUGCUUGGGGGAAAUGGAAAUGGUUUAAGGCUUUUAAGGUGGCAAAAGUGGACGGUGGAGUGGAGUUGGAGGUUUUUGUUUGAUGUGGGUGCAGGAAAUGGGAGUAUUUGUUUGACUCUCUCAAGACAUGUUUUGCCAACUGCUAGAGGAGAGGAAGGGAAUUUAUGCUUAGUUUGGGAGAUGAGAUUUCAGCAGAAAAGAAAAGAAGGGAAGACAAACGUAGGUGUUUUCCACAUUUGAGUGUUUUAGUGAAAUAGAAAGGAAGAGAAUCCAGCUAAUUUGGGAGGAGGAAGAGACCCACUGCAAUUAACAAAAUUUUUCAUCCCAAAACGGGCAGAAAAGAAAAGGAAAGCUACGAAAAGGCUGCAAAAAUUUUUUGAAUUGCCCGUUCUAUUCUUGAAAAACUAUUGAAUGAAAAAUUUAUUGACCAAUGUGUUCAAAAUCAUUUCUUUUCUUUUAUAAAUUUUCAAACAACAUUAAAAUCUUUUCUCUUCUUUUUUUAUCCUUUCUUUUUUCUCAUAACUUCUCUUCUUUUCUUUUCUAUCCUCAACUCACAAACAAGCUAUUAGGUUCUUCAACCUUGUUUGGGAGGGAAAGUAUCAAUAGUAGGGCAAUUUUUGGUACAACUAUCAAAAUUAUGUUUGUAUGGUGAAAUAUCAUUUUUUGUAUUUCUCAUUGCAUGGAAAUUUAGGCUAUUCACUUUUUUUUUUUUUUUGUGUUUACUAUAAGGAUAUAUUGCAAAUUCAGUGUCCCUCUCAUUUGAGUAGACAAAAAUUCCACUCAUGCAGGUCAAGUUUGAGUAUUUAACCUAUCUUUUUGCUACAGUCCUUUGUAACUCAUAUUUUCACUAAAUUUCAUAUAUCCGUGUAUGUCUAUAUUUUUCUUGUCUUUUCAAUUUUUUUUUUGUUGCAACUUAAAAUUUUAUCAUGUACCAUAGAAAAAGAAAAAAAGAUAAAGGUUUGAACUUGAAUCAUCAAAUAAAGGAAAAUAGGCCUUAAACUUUAGGAAGGAAAUAGAAUGAGUUGUGAGCAAUUGUUUUUUGUUAAGAAUGCUAUCAUGAAACAAAAUCCUUAAUAUUCAUGCGGCAAAAUUUCGCUCCUUUUUCCUCUUUUCUUAAGCCAACCAACUCCUAAAAUGCAGAUUUCUUUUGUCUUCAUUUUUCUUGCAAGCGCUCCAUCCAAACUAGGCCUUAAUUUUAUAAUACUCUAUUAGUGGGAAUGAAAUUAGUAAGGCGGCCCCAUAUGCCAAAUGGCUGCUUCUUGUACAAUGAAUACUCUUCUCGUUUAGUUUGCCCUGGAAUUGGUGAUUGCCGAUUGGAUUUUUCCAAUGGGCUGCAUAUGGGCCUUUGUGGCAUACGAAUGGAUAGGUCAUGGUGGACUUGGCCGGUCUCUUUAACUUAUUCGAUUUCGGAGAAUUCUAUUUUUUUUCCUGUAAAACAAAAGUCAGUAUUAUUAAUAAACUAUUCCCUUCUGUCUUUGUCUUGUUUUCGGAUUUUCCAAGAUGAAUCGCCCGAAGUUUAAAUCAAGGAGACUAAUCUCCAGUUUUGGUUGAUAGAAAGGAAGAAAAGAAGAAUUUCUUGUGAAACCCGAACUCUAGGCUUUAGGUAUAUAUCGAAGUGCCACAUGUACUUGCAUCUAAACAUUUUGUCUUCUUUUGGUUUUUUGCAAUCGGGAUGUUUUGAAUUAUAUAUUUUUUUAAGUGCGCGAUUUUGAAUUCAAAACUUUUUUUUAAUAAUUUCUUCUAUUUUAUCAUCAAACCCAGCCCUUCUUCCAAUAUUUUCAAUUCUUAUUAGGUAAACCCCAAAAAAAAAUUACAAUUUCAAUUCUAGGAUCAUAUCUUACACAAAAAGGCAGGAGUUUUUUUUUUAUAAUAUUCAAUGGAGACUUUAAACCGUAUAAGAAAGCAUAUGAAGGCUUGAGAAUUGUCUAUAAAGUAGUAUGUCCUAGCCCAAACUUUUGGUAUUGGGAAAUAAUAUUUCAAAUAAUAUCCUAUCCAAACAAAAAGUGUUACAGUAAUUAUUCUAAAUAAUAUUUCAAAUAAUUUCCUAUCCAAACACACCGGACUCUUCUAUUAAUUAUUUGGGUAACUAAUUUGAGAAAUUUAAAGCCAUAACAUGUGCUUACAUGUUUUUGUCUUUGAAAUCGAAGAAUAUAUUUGCACCAACAAUUCGAUCGAUAGACGUGCAUCUUCUUUUUUUUCGCCCCUUUUGGUCCUAAAAACGUAGGAUUCCUUUAUGUUUGUGAUAACAUUUUAUGCAGAUCAUUCAACUUAAUUAACUAAAACUUCUGCUUGAAUGAAAGUGGAAUGGAAAGAGACUCAACAUCAAAUGAUCGACAAGUUAAAAGGGUUUUCAAAAGUGAAUUCAAUCCUUGUCAAAAAUCAUAUUGUAUGAACUUCCUAAUUAAUUUGCACUUGCAUUAGGUUAAUUGAAACUCAUUUGUGUUGUCUUUUCUUAUUCUAAUCCUUCUUUCAAGUGCUGUGCAUGUCAUUAACCUCUCUGUCUCACUUUGUUGAAAUCCUUUCAAGAAAUAAAUUUUCUCAAGCAUUUAGGGUUUAGCGUACUGUCUAGUGUCUACCAUUAUGAAUAUAUGCAAUAUACUAGAACCCAUGGUGUUAUGAAAGUUCAAGAAGCAACUUUUUCAAAAAAAAAAAAAAAAAAAAAAAAAAGUUCAAGCAGCAAUAAAUUUGAUGUCGGUAUGCAUUGGGGUUGAUUGCAAUCACAGUAGUGAUUAUAGAAUGCAAUUUAUAGUGGGGAUGAACUGAUACUGAAUUGGAAGGAUAAAAUUGAGUUUGGAAUACAAAUCUUAAGUAGGAAAGUUACAACCCGCCUGAACGUGAAGUUGUGGAGCCUUGGAGCAAAAUUAAUUUGUCCUCAGAAAACCGAGAAACAGUAUGAAGGGCAUGUGCAUAUCCUAUUUUCUCUUAUUCAUAUUUUCUUUUUCCUUUUCUUCAUCAGUUGCAUUUCGAGUCUGUUUGUUUGAACUGAAAAUAUUUUCCAGAAAAUAGUUUUCGGAUUUUCUGGUGUUUGGCAGCAAAAGAUGUCGGGAAAAUAUUUUCCAGUGUAAAAUCUUUUACGUUACAAGAUGUAAAAUGACUUACGGAGCAGGCAUACGGAAGUUAAUUUCCAUCAAACUUAGCGUAUCAAUCAUUUCAGCGCUUACUUAUCAAAAUACUCAUAACAAAUAAGAAAUACCAAACUGAGACCAUCGUUAAAAAUGCAUCCUUACACCUGCAAUGAAAAACACCAUUGUCAGCCACCUUUCCCUCCUCCUCAUCUUCGCCAAUUCUACUCCUUUCCUCCCAUGCCAGCAUAAACAAUGCAUCCAUGGAGAUGUAGAAAAUCUAUACCAAGAGUGGGUCUUGAUAAGUUUUUGGGUGAGAGAAAUUUGGAAAAGUGAAGGAGAAAUUUGGAAGACUAUUGUGCAGAAAAGUUUGUACUAGAAUUCAAGUGCUACUUUUCCAUAUGAUGUUUGAUCAAUUAUAGGUUUUAAUUACUGAAGCAAUUUUCGUUGACAUAUUAUGAAUUUGAAUCUUCAUUGGUAUGCUGUGUAAUUGGUUUGAGAAAGUAUGAAUUCCCAAUUCUAGAGUUUGAUAGAUUUGGAGAUUGGAUGAAUCUCUGGGUUGAGAUGGUAAAUCCAAUGUACAUGGGAUGGUGGUAAUUGGAGGGACUCUAUGGGGAAUCCUUCUUCUUGUAGGUUUUAGUUUUGUGGUACAUUUUCAUAAAACUGCACCAAACACCUGAAAAUAAAGGGAAAUGAAAAUUUUUUCACGAAAAUUAUUUUCAUUGAAAAUGUUCUCCUCGGGAAAAAAUUUUACAUUGAAACAAACAGACUCUUCAUGUAAUUACUUUUCAUAUAUAUAUAGACACACACACGCAUAUAUAUAUAUGUAUAUAUGUAUAUAUAUGUAUACGUACAUAAUAAUUCACCAUAUGGCCAUAUUUAAUUUUUUUUAACUUCAGUAGAUUUUAAGUAUUUUAUUUUUUUGUAACAAUCCAUUCCAUCUAUUUAUUUUCACCCUUAUUCACCUUUUCUUUUUCACUUCCUUAACUAUCUCAACUUUCAGUCAAUUUAUUAAAUUUUUACUUUAUAUACAUUUGUACUUUGUAUUAAUCAUGCUUUAUGAAACCUUUUUAUUAAAAAAAAACCAUUUUAUCAAUCUACUCAUUAAUUUUUCAUUUUUUAAUUCUCUUAGAUCACAUUUAAUUUUCUAUUCUUAUUAUUUGGUUUGAUAAUAUAUUAUUAUUACUAAAAUUUGGAUAAAUUUCAUUCUUUCUAUAAUUCAGUACAUUUAUGAAAAUUUCAAUGGAUCUGUUAAUUCAUAGUUUUGACACAUAUUUUAAACAUUGUUUAGUUCCUCCUCCAAAAGAUUGGUUUAGUUCCUCCAAAAGAUUUGUUAAAUUAGGUAUUUUUCACGUUUUGCAAAGUGGGAGGUCUCUCAAGCGGCCAAGUAGACAAAGUUAUUGUUCACGUUCCUUAGUGACUUGUGUUCUCUUUUUUUAAACAAUUAAUUUCAAUCCUUUUUACUUAUCAUAUCUCACACACACACAUAUUAAAAGUUUUUUGGUCAAUUUUUAGUGUUUCCAAUGGUUAGAGGAGGGCUCUUAGAGUUUUUCUCAUCAUCAGGUUUAAGAUUCAAAUCUUGUGCAUGGUAGGUAGGGAUGGAAGGAUAAAAAAAAAUUUAUUUUAUUUUUUUGUUAACAAGAAUCACUCCCUUCUUCUUUUUUGCCAACUUCUUUUCCUUAAUUUAAAUGUUGUGUUUAACAUUUAAUUUGGGCAGGUAUUAAGUGAUUUAUUUUUGUUCAUAAUUCAAAUUUUAAGUGUUUUAUUUUUAUUAACAAUAAUCAAUCCUGUCUUUUUUUUCACGUGCUUCUUUUUGUUAAUUUCUGUACUUAUUAUGUUUAAUAUUUAACUUGGCUAGUUUUUAAGUAUUUCAAUUUGGGUGAUAAUUCAAAUUUUUAGUUGUUUAUUUUUUUCAACAAGAAUCAAUGCCUGUUCUUUUCCCUUAAUUUCUAUAUUUACUUUGUUUAAUAUUUAAUUUGGGCAGGUUUUUGAGUGCUUUGUUUUUGUUCAUAGUUCAACUUUUAAGUGUUUUUAUUUCUGGAUAGAUUCACAAUCAUAUGACAAUUUUCCAAAUCAUGAACACAUAACUAUUCAUUAACUAAUGUGACAAAUUCAAUAAUUUAACUUUGACUUUCAUUCAUAAGGAUCCAUUUCUUUUUUCCUCUGAAACAAAGUUUCACUUCGAGGUGUAUACGAACCGAGUAACUUGCGAGCAUGUUUGAUUGUCCCAACGAGCCGAGUGCAAGCAGAGUAUUAUAUGUUCGAUAGUUCGUCGAGUCUUAUUAAACAUUAAUGUAUAUAUUAAAUAAUUAUCUUAUAUUAUAUGACUUAAAUUGCAUAAGUGUUCAGAACUUAUUGAGAAAUUUCAUUUCUUCUCUUCUGUAGUACAACUAGUUUCAUGGGCAUUAGAUUCAAUUUUAUCCCUUCAAAAAUCUAAAGGAAUACAAAAAUUUCUAAAAAGACCUAAAUCCUAGCUUAACGAUCGAACUCAAUCGAGUCGAGUACGAACUCUUUCACAAUCUCAUCAUGUUAAGUUCAAACUGUUAUUAUUUUGCUUGAUCGAUCUCGAGCACAGCUUUAAUUCAGUUGAACUCAUUUCGGGUCUAUUGCACCCCUAGUUUCACAUCAAUAUGUUCGUAUUUAUGUCCAGGCCACAACUUGUAUUUUCCUCCUAUUUAUUUUCGUGCCCCACACUUUAUAUAUAUAUUGCUCCUGCCUCCUUCACCCUCUUACGUGUUAGGCUCCCGUGUCUCCUCCCUGCCGGUAUCUGCGGUUGGAAGCGACUACACUUGCUAAGAAAGAACGAUCCGGUGGGCACAAACGGGGAAUAAAUUAGGACACGUCAAGAUUCAAGAAUCUAUCAAAGGUUGGGUCCACGUGAAUAGUUGCUUUUCCACGUAGGACCGUCACCCACACCUUCUGAUUUCUGAUAUGGUGCGAGAUUCUCCAACCGUCUGACGUGUUAACGCCUUAACGCGUAAAGGCGGAAACGCCAAAUUUCACUUGGUACCCUUAAUGUUUGGGAGAACCGUUUUAAAUGUUUCUCACAUGUCACUAAAUUUUGUUAUUUAAAAUCUAUAAAAUUUGAUCUCAACCUAGAUUUUCAAUCACCUUUUACUCUAAAUCUAUCAUGUGACCCCGUAUGAUUAUUUUUUUAGAGCAAAGAUUUCAUUUAUAGUUAAAUAAAUGAUCCGAUCCAUAUUCAAUUUUGUUUCUAAAAAUACAUAAUCUGAUCUGAGUGAUUGUUAUUUUUUUUCCUAAAAAAGUGAUAUCUGACCAAGUUCAUAUUCAUUUUUGCCACUAAAAAAGUGAGAUAUGACCUUUUUGUACAUAAAAAAUGAUUAUAUGUGGAUCACAUGGAAAUUUUAAGUUAAAAAGUAGUCAAAAACUUAGAUUAGGACUGAAUUUUGUUAAUUUGAAUUUGUAAGGGAGGUAAAGUUAAUGUUUUAAAAGUAAAACACGAAAAAAAUUUAUUUGACAAAAUGUGAGGGACGUUUUGAACAAUUUUUUCCUAAUGUUUUGACUUUCAUCAAUUUGAACUUGAAACUUUUGUUCCUGAACUUUGUAUAUAUAAGCAAACAAAAGUGCAAAAUCACCUAAAUGCUUUUAGCCAAUAAUAGUUGACAAAAAUUAUUUUGCUUCUUUGCAAAAUAAUGCAUGCAAUACUACGUCUCCACACUUAAACUGGCAACCUCUCGAACUCAUUUUGCUUUUGGUUGAUUUUUUUAGAACUAAGCCCAUGCCUGACUAGUAAGUUGAAAGUAUGUAUCAUCAAAGUUCUGUAUUUCGAUAUUGAUUUUAUUAGCACCAAGCCCUUGCCUGAGCUAGCAAGUCAGACAUGAUCCCGCUGCAAAAUUGGAUAUGGAUACACUUCAUUGCACAUGAUUAAAAGAAAAAGAUCCUUAGUCAAUUACAUAUGGUACCAACACCAAUAAUUUUGAUGUGGGUACAGCCAGAUAAUCAGCACAUGCAUCAUGUACAAAACCACGUCAAGAAUGAAGAAUGUAGCAACAUUUUGGGUCCAUCAGAAUUCAGAAUCAUCCCUUAUCCACCAACCCUAAGGGUCUUCACCCUGGAAAUCUGAUAUGAAUCCUGGUUAAAGCUACUUCUUGAAGGUUCCUGAUAUGGUAUGGUGAGAGAUUCAUUGAUGCGCAUUAACAUGUAAUCUCCCUUGGCACCCUCAACAUUUUGACCUUGACACUUGAAACUAUUGUUUUUGAAACUUUGUGUAUUAAAUUAACAGUGAGAUUUUUCAUCAUAAAGUAUAGGAAACAACAAAAGUUUUCUUAAACGGUCUGUCCGUUAAGAUAUAUUUUAAGUGUUAUAUAUUUAAAAAUAUAAGAUUAAUUAGAAAAAGUAAAUAAAUACAAGGGAGAGUAGGUAAGAUUAAAUAGGGGAAAGUAUAUAAAUACAAGAGAGGAUAAUAAUUAUUAGUAUGUAUAUAUAUAUACACUUGAAACUAUUGUUUUUGAAACUUUGUGUAUUAAAUCAACAGAAAUUCCUGCUUUGCCGAGCUCAUCCUACACUACUUGUAUCUCAUGAACAAUAAGCAGAAAAUAAAUACAAAGAAGAGGGUAUACUAGUACUAAAAGAAAACAGAACAAUCUCUAUUUCAGAGACCCGGUUGUGCUUAUUUAAAUGGAUUGCAAACGAUAAGUUAAAAGCAUUCUUGGAUGUUUGUCAUAGAAAGACGUAUUGUUGCAUAACUUAUAGAAAUCUAGAUCCCCAUGUCUAUAGAUUUUUUUUUUGCCGCAACGAUGAUAUUUUUAUAAUCUAAUUUAUCCUAUUUUACAGAAAGGGGAAGUCUAACGAGAUUGUGUAAGAGACUAGUAGGUAUACAAAUCCGACUGUACCAAAGGAAUACUCUGACCUAUAGUCCAAACAGGGAUUUAAUCCUUUUUUUGUGACUAUUGAGCCAAAACUCUGUGGUUAUAUAGAUUUUUUUCUUAGGGAAUUGAAUUUCGGUGGAGUUUCAUGUCACCCUUCAUAUGUUAACAAUCAGCCAUAAACAUGCCUAGACCUUUGAAACUGUCCUUGUGGUUACCAUGGCAAGGCCUAAGAGAAGCCUAUUGACAUUGGACAUUAGAGGUUAAAAGAAAAGAAAUAUUAUGAAUAAUUCAUAUUUUUUUAAAUUGCAUAUUAGUCCUUGAGAAGAAGGCAAACAUUAUUACAAUGACCGCGUCGCUUGAUUAAUCCAACGUUUGAAAAAUUGUUAUAGACUUUGUAAUAACUUUCUCAAGUGAAAUACAUGAAAGGAAAACUUUUUAUCUAGUGAUCAUCCACCUAAUUAAGACUACUUAAUUUGUAGGAAUUUUUGCAUAUGCGGAAAGUGAUCAUUGGUGAAGUUUGUGAUCGAGUAAAAAGGAAAAACAUGCAAAUGGUUCUUUUUGAAUGACAUUAACCCUUUAAAAUUUUAUGAAUGUGAAGGUAGCAAGUUCUAUUGGAUUUAUUAAAUUGAUAAAGAAACCUACUCAUUUUGUAAAACAUUCAAGCCUAAACUUUAUCUGUAAAUAUGAUAUUAUCACUGUGAAUGUAUGGACUGAUUAAUUGUGCAAUUGUUUUAAGGAAAAAAGAUUGAUUGUGACACACAAAUUUCAAUUAAUGAUUAAAAUUUAUUAUGUUUUUAUACAUUACAAUCUUAUACUAUAUACUAACAGUAUACACACUAUUAUGGUUGGAUAUACGACACGUAUGCAAAAUUUGAGUUUCAAAUUUAAAUUCAGAUUAUGUGUUAUAUAUCCAAUGAUAAAGUCAGUAUAUGGAAAAUUAAUCCAUAUUUUUAUACAUUGCAAUAAUAUAUAUAUAUAUAUAUGUUAAUAUGUGUGUUAGUAGUUAUAUUUAUUCUGUAAGUACGUCCAUUUUAUGUUGCCAUUGAAACUAACAAUUGUACAAACCAUAAACCAUGAAGAACACCCCGAUGAAUCUGCAAUUCACCAAAUCACAAAAAAAAAAAAACAAAAAACUACUCCUCCUCCCAUUAUUAGGGAAGAGAAUUAUAGAAAUGUGGCACAGACAAAAUCUCAAAAGCUCCCAUGUGAUAUGGUCCACGGUCCACAGUCCACUUGACGAGUUGCCGCGGGCACAGGUCCCCGAGUGAACAGCCUCAAUACGACACCGUUUCAUCAAACUGUUAAUCUAAAAAUAAUAUAAUUUUAAAAAAAAUUUAGCAAAGACUUCUAUAUGUAGAACCUUCGCCGUUCAGUUUUCCAUCGUCUUGCUCCAAUGCUCCUCUAGCCUUCAGCUCCACCUUGGCUCUUUCCCGAUUCCCCCGCUAUUUCUUCCAUAAUUACAAACUAACCCCCAAAAGCAGAUUCUAUAUACACUCAGAUCCUUCCCCAACAAGGAAACAAAAAAAAAAAGGCUACUCGCAAAUGGUGGGAAGCUCUACGGUAGGACUCGGAACGAUGUCAUCUGCUCCAUUACCCAACGGAAAAUCAGUAAUGGAGGAUACUCAGACCGUAAGGGACGUCGAUUACUUCGAUCCGAUGGCGGUGGUGUCAGAGCCGGUCCCGCCAGUGGCUGUGGAAUCGGUAGUGGAUCGUGGAGAUGCUGAGGGGGCCGAAGUCAAUGGAGACAAGGCGGAGAAGAGAGAGAUUGUCCUUGGACGGAACGUGCAUACCACUUGCCUCGCCGUCACGGAGCCGGACGCCGACGACGAGUCUACCGGAGAUAAAGAGGCCUACAUGGCUAGUGUCUUGGCUCGCUACCGGAAAACUCUUAUUGAAAGAACCAAGCACCAUUUAGGUACAAAUGUAUUUUCUUUUCUCGUUUAUUUUCUGUGUUCCACUAUAUAAAUCGUUGAUCUCAUUUUUUUUUUUUUCAAAACGGCAACAUUUUUGGAAAAAUUGCGUGUUUUUCUUUAUUAUUUCCUCUUGAAUGAGCUAAAAGUAUGAUUUUUAGGAAAAUAAGUUGAACAAUACGACCGGAUUUAUUGGAUUCAUUUCUGAGAUUUGUGAAGCUUGAGAAAAUUGUUCUUAGUAUACAUAAAAUGCACGUGAGCUUCUAAUUUUAUAAUUUUGUAGUUAUCCGGAUAAUAUAAUGUGCAGAAAUUUACUCGUGAUUACUAGCUCCAUGGGAUUGUUGUGGACAGGCGGAUGAAAAUUUUAUUUAAAAUCAGUUGCAAAACUUGGAAAAUCAAAACAUUUGCUUUUAAUUUUGUUUAUUCAUAAACUCUAAUAUAUUUCAAAAGUCAGAAUUUAAUUUCAGAAGCUGAAUCUUAAUAUUUGCUUCUUAGAAUCAGCAUUUUUUAUGCUUAGAACAAGGCAAAAAUGCUACUGAGAACAAAUUAACCUCAAUACAGCUUUAAGCUGGAAAGAGCUAUAAAUACUGGAAUUUGAGCUAAUAAGAGCGAGCUAUGUCAGGAAGCUCUAAUUGACAAGUCCUUGCCAAACCUGGAAUUGAAUUGGUCCUUUGCAUGUUGCAGAUUCUUUUUCUUUUUUGAUUGGUGUGUUUUUAGAUUCUAAUGCUGCUAUUUUUUCCUGUAGAUUCUGAUAAUUCGUCCUUUUUGUGAUUUAUAUACUGGUCUAAUGUCUCAUUUGUCUUAUUUUCAGCGUACAGUUCAUACUUUUCCUUUUACUUUUUGGUUUUCAUGUUGUCUUCUUUUGGUAGAAUGUGCUGUAUAUAAGAUAAUAAAGGAGACCCAUUUUGAAUUUGUCUUCGCAUGUUUGUUUCAAAGGAUUUUUUUUUUUUUAUACACAAUUUCUUGUUUUGAGGACAAAUAGCCAAAGUGCAAGUUUCGACCUUCACAAGCCUUUUCUAUUGGCUUUGAAGAGGGCCUCCUUUACAUUUCAUGGAAAGUUGAUAAGCAUAUCUUAAAUCUAUUGCAGGGUAUCCAUAUAAUUUGGACUUUGAUUAUGGAGCUCUUGCUCAGCUGCAGCAUUUCUCCAUUAACAAUCUUGGAGAUCCUUUUAUAGAGAGCAACUACGGCGUCCACUCAAGACAGUUUGAAGUGGGUGUUUUGGAUUGGUUUGCUAGGUUGUGGGAAAUUGAGAAGAGUGAAUAUUGGGGAUAUAUCACUAACUGUGGUACUGAGGGCAAUCUUCAUGGAAUCAUUGUUGGGUUAGUACUGUUUAGCUGAGCUUCAUGUCUAAAUUUAAUGUGAAAUGCUUCAUCACCUGCCCUGAGGAUUAUUAUGACAUGCUUGUGAAUGCUCUUGCAGGAGAGAAGUCCUUCCUGAUGGAAUUCUGUAUGCAUCAAGAGAAUCUCACUAUUCUGUCUUCAAGGCAGCACGAAUGUACAGAAUGGAAUGCGUAAAGGUGGAUACCUCAGUCACUGGCGAGAUAGAUUGUGCAGAUUUCAAGACUAAGCUGCUUGUUAACAAAGAAAAGCCAGCGAUCAUCAAUGUAAACAUAGGUACUCUCUCUCUCUCUCUCUCAUGGCGCUCUCCUGUGUUCUGGCCUCCCCUCUCCUGACUCUUGGACUCACUCAUAUGGAAGUGGGGAAUAAAAAGGGGGAAACAGGCCAUACAUCCAUCUUCAGGCAUAUAGCGAUUGGCUUUUUGAAUAAUUCAUUCUGUAUUUGUAGGAACCACGGUUAAAGGUGCUGUUGAUGAUCUUGAUCUUGUGAUACAGACUCUUGAAGAAUGUGGUUUUUCACAUGAUAGAUUUUACAUCCACUGCGACGGAGCUUUAUUUGGUCUUAUGAUGCCAUUUGUAAAGCGUGUAAGCAUACACUUUUCAUUUUAAUCUGCCUUUGUCCAUAUGAAUGUGAAUUCCCACAGUUCGCAAGGAAAUUGGUCCUGAAACUUUUGCUUAUUUUAGCUUGGCUCAAACAUAAUCUGUAGAAGCUAUAGCUGGUACUUGAGUCUGACUUGAAUUCUAAUGUCAAGCUGAAGCCGAGUUUGAGAUCAUGGCAGACAGAACGAAGCUUAGUUUUAAUUUGUAAACAAAUUCAUUAUUCAGCUCCUAAAGUUAUUCAAGUGCAGCAAUUUAUGAUGUUAUACACAAACUUCUGCACAUAUUGAGGUACAUGAAGGCAUCUGGAUACAAGAUCUAUCUAUUGGUGCAGACACACUCCUAUACAGAUGAAAAAAAAUAAAAAUAAUAUAUGCUGUAGUCUGCUUCUGUCAACAUGAUCAUUCAAAUGGUAACCUUUAAGUUUAAAAAUUAGUGGAGUCGUUCUCUUUUUGAAACUGAAUAUUUGGUGCAGUAAUUUUAGAAGUAGAGCUUAGCGUAAUAAAAAUUUUCUACCUGUUUGUUCACUUAAGAUUUUAGUGCUGUUUGUGGACUUAUUACACACUCUUAAAGACAUUCCUUUUCAUAUAAUUAAGGGAAAAGAAAUUAAAGCAAAUUGUGUUAUCUGCCAUAUGUUAGUGUAAAAUUUGAUGUUCAAUCACCCCUGCGGUGGUAAGGGUUACAAAAUUUGCUUUUACUUGUAUUGGUAAACAAAGGUCAGAGAGAGAGCUACUUGGAAAUGGGAAAUGAUGGAAAAUCUUGAAACAAUCAUGAUAAAUCUUGUUUUAAAUUCAGUAUGUUUAAUUAAUUUAUCAUGACUUGAAUAUUUGGCACCAAUAUGAAGUUGACAUUGUUCCUUUCAUGUACAUGGCUAAGAACUAGGUCCACAGAGAAACUAUGACUGUCUUCCUUCUCGUGAAACAUGGUAUCUACUCAUAGAUUUCCAUGGACUGUAGUUAAUUAACCUUAUUCUCUAAGUGAAACUGAAUGCACAUUAAGUUGAAUGUCUCUUUAGGUAAUUAUGAUUGGCUCAUUUUCAACCUGCAUUCCAAUAUCAGCUUUUUUACUUUUUUUUUUUUGACAGGCACCAAAGGUAACUUUCAAAAAGCCUAUUGGAAGUGUAAGUGUUUCUGGCCACAAGUUUGUUGGCUGUCCAAUGCCAUGCGGUGUGCAGAUCACUAGGCUAGAGCACGUCAAUGCCCUCUCCAGGAAUGUAGAGUAUCUUGCUUCUAGAGACGCUACGAUAAUGGGAAGUAGGAAUGGCCAUGCUCCAAUCUUCCUGUGGUACACCCUUAACAGGAAAGGGUACAAGGGCUUCCAGAAGGAAGUCCAAAAGUGUCUUAGAAAUGCUCACUACUUGAAGGAUCGCCUAAGACAAGCUGGAAUAAGUGCCAUGCUCAAUGAGCUGAGCAGCACAGUUGUAUUUGAGCGGCCACGGGAUGAGGAGUUUGUUCGUCAGUGGCAACUUGCUUGUCAGGGAAAUAUGGCACAUGUUGUUGUGAUGCCAAAUGUCACGAUUGAGAAGCUGGAAGGCUUCUUGGAUGCAUUAAUUGAAGGACGUUCAAUAUGGUACAAAGAUGAUAAAGUAAAGCCUCCGUGUCUUGCCGCUGAGAUAGGAAGUGGGAACUGUUCCUGUCCUCUUCACAAGUGAAACAUUUGAUAGGACUCUUAAAAGUCUCCGUUAGUUUGUCUUCAGCAGUCACUUCAUUUGUGUAAUGUUUGUUUGAACAUGGCAGUAUAGCUUGUAUUUCAAACUGUAUUCCAUUUUAAUUCUACUUUUGAAUAUCUAGGAGUGCUAAAUCUGCUUCCAUGAGGGAGAAAGUUGACCUGUUCUUGGUUUUUGAUCCUUCCACCUUUGAGAAGAUGCUUCUUAGAACAAGUGGAAUGGUGGGCAGUUUGAUCCCUUUCUAGCCAUUGGACCAAAUCUAAUGGAUUGAUAUGCCAAAAAUUUGGCUACUUACGAACCCUUCAUGGAUAAACCCUAGACGGGAUUGUUGGAUGCAUUACCCAAGACACCAAUUUGCCAAUAAUUAUUAAGAGGAAUUGUAUGUGCUCUAGCAUAGUUGUUGAAGUAGACUGAGAUAAUGCUUAAACGUUCAGGACAAAAAUAUGCUUACAUGAUGAAUGCCUCUUGUUGGUCUGGAAAUCAGAACAUGCAUUCUUCUAAGGAGCGCUGCCAAUGUGCUACACUUUUCUUUAUUUUUUUCCUUUCUUUCUUAUUAGGGGGGGGAUGGGACUUCAUAAGCAGGGACAGGGUCGAGGGAUUUGAACUCAGAACUCCUCAGCACUUCUAAUGUGACUUCAUCUUAUUCAGAAUCAGGUUAGAUGAUGAAAUGGCAAGAGAUGGCUCUUGAUAAAUCCUCAAGGCAUACAUACUGUAUUUGAGGUUACUACGAUUGCCUUCCAUUAUUGUUUGCAUAUAUUAAUACGGUACUUUUAUUCUCAGAGCAAAGCAUUCGUAAUCCCAGCUAUUUGAUUCAUCCUCUGCCACUCGAGAGGAGGCUUUCUUACCAUUUCUCUUUGUAAGCUUUUGAGUCCGAAUACAAUGCAUUUCCUGCAGUAUUCUUCUGAUUUUUAGUAGGCUUUAGCUAGGUACUGGCAUGGAAGAUUGCACUACAGUGGUUCAACCAUGAUUGGAUACUUGUUUCUUGGCAUCCGGACUAGUGUUGGCAUCACAGAGUCGUCUUUCUCCAAUGGUUUCCAUCUGCAACAGUGCAUCAACAAGUCAGAAUAUUCUGCUAUAGCGUCAAUAUGAUGUCCUAUACAGGACUAAUGCAAUAAGAAAUUAUUCUGGCUAUCUUAACUAUUAGAAUAUUCUAUGUUUUGCUUAUACGCUAUGGUUUUCAAGUUCUUGAUUUGAUCAAAGAACUACUUGGAUCUUCUUCUGUCUGCAUUCCAAUUCCUUGUCCUUCUACGUGUCUAGCCAAGGAUGCUGCAACACAGUGCAAAUGCUCUCUCUCUCUCUCUCUCUCUACGUUGAAUGUUUCACAAUUUGUUUUAGAGGUUCAUCUUACUUGAAUCUGCAGACAAGGUGAUGAAUGAAAAUGCAAAUUUCUAUCUUGGCGAGGUUAAUUCCGGGACACAUUCGUGGUCCACUACCAAAUCCAAGAAAACUGAAAGGCUUCAAUGGCUCCUGCAAUUUAUCAAGAACUUAAUUUUGUUAACAAAGGAUAAAACAAGAAAACGGCUAUUUUCUGGAGACAGAAGAAACUUACAUCAAAUCUUGAAGGAUCAAACUUCUGAGGGUCAGGAAAAAGCUUCGGGUCAUGAUGAAUGGAUACUACAUCCAGGUUGACAGACCAACCCUUACUGAUUUUGCAUCCUAAAAUUUUUUGGAAAUUAGGAAGACUGAGAGUAUCAAAUAAUCCCGUCACUGGGCAAUAAUAGUGCCAGAUGUUAAGGGUGGUGGAUUCUACCAUCAACUGUGAAGUCUUCUGCUGCUGUUCUUGAAAACCAAGGAAGAAUUGUGGCUAUUCGAAGAGUCUCGCUAAUUACCUGAAAUCAAAAGGCCAUGAGCAUUUAGCUGGAGAAUUUUUUUUUUUUAUUUUUUUUUUGUUUUAAACAAUGAAAUGUGUUUGAAAUGGAGCUAACUUUGUUUGUGUAAGGCAUGUUGUUGAUGUCCGACCAUGUAAGACCUGAUCUGCUAGCUUGGAUUUCCCUAUGCUCUUCCUGUAAAAUGACUUCUUAGAUUCUGUUGGCAGCAUUCAAGAAAAGAUGGAUUUUGUUCUAGAAAGUCAGGGAUUAUUACUCGUAGACGUUCCAAUGCAGCAGGGUUUUGUUCAAGGAAUUUUACAAGCCAGGUCAGUGCAGCAGUAGUAGUAUCAUGCCCAGCUACUAGCAGGGUCAAUAUAUUGUCCUUCAAUUGUGCAUCUGUGAGUUUAUCGUCAUCUUCUCCUCCAUAGCCAUGCUUGUUAUACUUAUUCACUAAGGAUUCUAGGAAAUCUUGCUGGAAGUUGUCUCCAGUUCUCCGCUGAGCAAUGAUUGAGUCUAACAUUGCAUACAUCCUGUUCCGAGCCUGUCAAUGGAGUAAUGUUUUAUCAAUUUCUCUGCAGUCUGUCCUCUCUGAAGGCAAUCCCAAAUUGUUCUGUAUUCCAUUCAUUUAUAUCAGACAGAACUUAAUACCUGAAUACCACGGUAAAAGGCAGUUCCAGGAAUUUUCAGGGGGAGAGCAGAAAAUGACGAAGACAUGACUUUGAAAUUGGCACGGAAUUUCUCCUGCUCUUCACCAGCGGGUUCCAAGCUCAUUAUCAUAUUGCUGAUCACCUUGAGGGAGAACUGCAAAAUUUGACAGGUUGAAGCAUUUUAAGAAGAACAGACUUCACUUGGGAUAGAAUCACAUCACCCAGGAGCAUGAACUUAACUGUAGAAGCCUCUUCAAGAACCAGGAUUUCUCGUCCAUGCCACUUGUCCAGUGUAUCACUGGCCAAAUUAUCGAUGAACUGGAAAUACUUCUUGAGGCCAUUGAUUGAGAGGGGUUCAGCAAUCAACCUGCGGAGCCGUUUGUGUGCUUCUCCAUUUUGAUGCAGUAAACUAGUAGGACCAAGAACCUGCCUUCCUGCAUAGGACAAAUUUAAGCUCACCAUCCCAUCUUUUCCGGUUAACAAAAUCUUACUCGCCUCACUACCAGUCAUGAAGACAGUAAGUCUCCCCAAGACUGAAGUCUUGAAUACUUUCCCAUACCUAGUACAGAAAAUCAUGAUCAUCAAUAAGAUCUUAUACAUUGUUUUCAUAAUUUUUAACAGAAUAAUCCCGGACAGGAACAUAAGUGCAUCUUUAUAAAUCUAGUUUCUAAUGGCAUUCUUCCUUAGCUGAUUUACCUCUGCUGUCUCUUUCUGAUGAAGCUAUGUAUGCCUGCAGCACUUGAAAACUCGGUUAUAAACGACAAAGUUUCCCCGACAAUAGGCCAACCCAGCCUACCCGGUAUUGCCGCCAUUUCCCUUGGAGAAGCCCAUCUUUGUAAUAAAGCUGAAACUAAAACUAUCAAUAUUAGGAAGGCUGAAAGCAUUAUUAACAAAUCUUGCUCCAUUGUUUUGCAUAAAACUGAGGAAGCCGAUAUCUGGAUAUAUAAAGGAUAGGUAUUCGAAUGAAUGACGAUAAUUCCUGUAAUAAUCGUUGCUGACAGUUUAAAGCUCCAAUCCGUUACACGUCCAAUGACCAACACGGAUUUCCUUGUAUAUUCUUGUUCACUUCUUCGAAUCAUAAUAAUUUCCAUCAAAAUUUGGAUUGACUUCUGUGUAUUCUUAUACUAAAUUCUUGCUACUUAACUUAGUGAUCAACGAACAUAGAUAGGUUCAUGCGCUCGAAGCUUGCGACACCGUAUAUUUUUGUUUCUGGAUUUUAUAUGAUCCUCAAUUGAGGGAAUGUUCAAGGACACAGUAGUAGUAUAAAUGGACAAUCCCAGAAGUUUUCCUUUGGAAUUUGGCGACUCAGUUGGCUACGAAAGGUCCUCCUACAUUCAUAAGAUAAUGAGCUUGUGCUGCUUAGAGUUAGACCAAUUGUAGAUUUUAAUGCAGGUUCCAAAAAAAACUGCUUUAAUUACUAGAUUAAUUUUCAACCAUGUCUACAUGAUUUGUCUCUGAGGAUGUAACUACAGACUACAGUCCAUAUAUGCAUGUCACAACGUCCAAAGACUCCCUUCAUGGCUGCCGAUAGACACAAGUUGACAGAUGGAGGAUCGUUUCUAUAGUUCUAAUUUUUCCUUUUGGACUAAUGCUUUUACAAGUUUAUCACUGGUUAUCUAAUAACGAGGCUCAUCAUUGUUGCCGAUUGAGCACAGCAUCUUCCCUAAUGUCAUUAUAAAACAGAGAGUUUCAAUCAAUUUGAUAACUGUUAUGCGAAUUAUAGUAUUCAUUCUUAUGGGAAUGAGAAUGGGAAUGAAAAACAAGAGAUACUUUUUCUCGAAAUAUGAACAAACGGAAGUUUAACUCCGAAAGAAGCACUUCAUCAAGCCUGCCUUCCGCAAUUUGAUUGAUUUGUUUAUUCCAUUUUUACAUAUGGAAGAAGAAAACUCACAUUUGGACAACAAUCAACACACGGUUCCUUUAGCUCCUUUUUAUCUUUCAUGAUAAAUUGGAUAAACCCUGAAAAAACAAAAAAGAAUAACUAUAUGUAUGUUCUGAUUCCUUGCGUUGCUGCUAUUCAAAAUUAUUGAUCUAGUUCUGUUGUUUGCAUGUGAUUUUGCUUGGUCAAGAACGUGAGAUUGUUAACAAGGUCUAAGUUGAGGUUUGUAUGCGACAAUUUCCCAGGGCAAGAUGCCCAAUGAAUAUUCCCUACUUUCUGAAGGGAAAAGGUUGUACAUCUUUUAAGUUUAACUACCAAGGAGAAUGAAUGAUUUCGGAUCUUUUCUGCUUCCUAGUAAUGGCAUUUGGCUGUCUAUUAGAUUUAGAUGGAUUUAGAAGAUGAAAUGGACCAUGGCUUUAGAAUCCGGAGAGCCCAGAUGUCAGAAGAAGCAGAAGACGACUAGGGAAAAAGAGGUGUUAAUUAGCAGUUUGUUUUUCUUGUUGGGAUCUGAUUCCAGUGCUACAUAAUUUAGGACCUUUUACUCUCAGAAUUUAGAUUGCACAUUUCUCGUCCAGAAUUAUGCUACUUCAAUACAUUUCCAAUCUUUAAUGCAGUAAAAAUAAUUUAUGUUUAAAGUCACUAUUAAUUCAGACAGGAACUCUUCAAACCUCAAGGCCGCAUGAAUGAGCAAAAUGACAUAGGAAUGGCUUUACUUUUCGUUUCUUUCCCCCCCCCCCCCCCCCCCGUCCCCUCCUCCUCCUCCUCUUUUGGGCAAGACAUGGGAACAACUGAAGUGAAUAAUGUCUGUUACUUUUUCUUGUGUUUUAUCCUCAAUCAAAUUUAUGGGCUCAAGAAGUUGAGUUGGUUUACCGGUCAUAUAUACCUUGUCAUACCGCACCUAUAUUCAAUCAAACCGCAUGCUAUUGCUUCUUACCAUUUUAUAUGAACUAAUGAUGCAGGAAAAACUUCAACUUGUUUUCAGCUGAUGCAUGAAAUGAAUUUUCCUGUAACAGGAUGGAAAUUGGUAUGCAAGCAAGAAACAAGCUCUGAUUCCGGCCUGUUAUGGCAAGGCAUAGACUUCUUCUACCUGUCAGUCAGUCAAUCAUCUAUGCUGAACUUCCACCUGCAAAGCCUGCUGUUACAGUCAGCGACAAGAGAAAUAUGAAGCUGAUGAGUGUCAUUGUGAAUCAGUAAUUUCUAAUAGUAAUGAUGUGAAGGGUUUUAUUACUUAUUAAUCUAAUCAUCUUACUAGUAAAAAAGAACACAUACCGGAGGCAACAGAAACAGGAGAGAGAGAGAGAGAGAGACUGAAGUUCUCUAGAUCCUCAUAAACAUACCAAUGUUGAUGGAUUUAACUUGUACAAAUAUCAGUCUCUCUCAGAGAUUACAUAUUACAGAAGCAGUAAAUUACAUGCAACAGAUUACUACCAAUAUACAACACGUUUACUGAGUGCUUUGCACUUCAUAAUAUUUACAGAAUAGGAAACCCCGUUUCAGAACUUGAUAUCUUGGCAGACCAUGGAAAGCAAAUAAGAUAACAGCAAAUGGAGUACAUAUCCUGUUAGGUAGUUGCACCAGCUACAAC